CGUUCUCCUUGCUCCUUUUGGUACAACUUCUUAAGUAAUGGACAAUCACGAAUUGACAAAGUAGACAGGGAUCUGGGUAGACCCUCAUCUGGCAAGCUCUCAAGACAAGGGCAAUCAUCAAUAUAUAGAGAUUCAAGUGAAGUGAGGUGGAAAAGACCGUUGUAGUUUAUUUUUCUUAGGUUGGAACAAUUUGUCAACUCAAGAGAGGUAAUACUUGAUGGCAGCAUAGUCUCCUUUGGCAAGAAUGCGAAGAUUUCAAAAUCAUCACUAAGACUUAAUUGUUUCAGAGAUUUGAGUUUGAACAAACCCCACUCCUCUAUUGAAGCCAUCAAAUUAGGGCAUCUUUCUAUCCGGAGGCUGCCUAGGUUGCAAGGCAACUGCCUCCCAAAAAACGAUUCCAGCAAUGGACAAUCGUACAACACGAGAGAAUUAAGAUUGUUGAAUACGUGUAGUGCAAAAGGCAAGGAAGAAGAGUGCCAACCUGUUAUAGUUAAAGUGCGAAGGGAAUAACAGCUACACAUAUACAAAGAGAACCAUUCCAUAUUUCGACCAAAGAAGUCUUCAACUUCCAACUCUUUAAGAAAGGCACUAUUAAUUAGAACUUUCUCUAGGGUGGAUUCAAUGACGUGAGUUCCACAAAGGAUGGCCCUUAUCAAGCAUGAUGGCAAUUCAUUUAUCGAAAUGCCAUCACAUCUCUUUAGUUCUAUAUCACUGAUAUUAGCAGCCUUGGGAAUUGAAGCCUCCAACUCUUCGCAAUCAAUAAUUUCCAACUUUUGCAAACAAGGAAGAUGAUGAGGCAGAGCACUUUUCAACUUGGGACAUUGUUUUAGACAAAGCUCUUGAAGCAAAGGGAAACCUUCAAGGCAUAACCAUUCCUUCCAUUCAGACAUAUACUCCACCCGCAAAGUUUCAAGGGAUCUAAAUGCAGCAUAAUUAUAGCCGAAAAACUCUGAACCAAUGUUCUCUAUUCCAUGACAGCCGGAAAUGGAAAGCUUCUUGAGAGAAUGGAACUGCCCAAGUGGUGGCAACUGGGAACAGUGUUUACAUCCAAACAAUUCAAGAGAUACUAAAUUGGGUAGAUGAUGAUCCCCAAGCCAAUUUGGAAAGCUACUACCUCUGUAGUCAUUGAUGGUGAGCCUCAUGAGAUUUCUAUUUGGUUGAAGAGCCUCCAAGACCAAGAGACGUGCUUCAGUUUCUGAGCCUUCCAUUUCUCUCCAUUCAUCGUAUGACAUGAUUAAUUCUUGUAAAUGUUUCUUAUCUUUCAAAUUUGCUGCCAUAGCAUCUGCUGGAUCGGUCACAUUCUUCAACCCUGAAAUUUGAAGCCUUCCUUUAAGGUGGUUAAGUUCUUCCAACAGCUUAAUAUCAUAUCCAUGUUGCUCUCCCACAACAAAAUCAGUCAGCAUCUCAAGAUUGAUUAAUACUCUUAUCUCCUUUGGCAUCUUCUUGAUAUGUGUGCCUUUCAAAUUAAGAUGACGUAAAUUGAUGAGUUUGCCAAAAUUUGAUGGGAGCUCAGUCAAUUUAAAACAUUCUUCCAGUAAGAGCGUAUGCAAAUUAUACAGCAUACAAAUGGAAUUAGGUAAGCUUGUAAUGUCGGUGUAAGAAAGGUCUAGAUAUCGUAGAAGCUUUAAAUUUCUUAUCUCAUCAGCUAGCUCUAAGAGAUUGCAACCAUUGAAAGACAACCUUCGCAAAUAUUUUAGUCUAAAAAACAAAUUAAGCUGAACAUCGGUGCUUAUCUGAAAGCGCUGGUCACCAUAGCCUUGUGCUUCUACCAUCAGACUCUGUAGUCCUUUAAUGUCACGAAUCUGCUUUAGUUUUCUAUCACCAUCUUCCAAAUCAAGGCAGCACCAAAUGUGACGUGUCCUUUGAGGGAUAUCUUGCACGUUAUCACCCUCUAUUCGUAAGUGGGAUUCUCCUGUCAAUGAUUUCGCUAAAUCACUGGCAAGAUCAUGCAUGAUGAAAUAGUACUUACCAGCCCAUAAUGGCAUAAUUGCUGAUUGUUGGAAAAAUGACAUUGACACUAGAUGAUCAAAGAAUUCAUUACCCAACUCUUCUUCAUUUUUGUCUUUUCCGCAACACUUUAGCAAACCUUGUGCCAUCCAAAGCUUGAUUAAUCCAUCCUUUUCAAACUUAUAACCCUUGGGAAAUAUAGAACAAUAUGCAAAACAAUGCUUCAGAUUUGAAGGGAGGUUAAGGUAACUCUGUCUUAGAAAGGAAUAAAUGCUUCUGUCACUCUUAGGUAAACUCCACAAAUCAGUCUCUAAUAUCUUAACCCAUUCAUUUUCAGAGAAUCUUCUUUGCAAGAGAAUCCCCAAUGUUUUUAGAGCAAAAGGCGACCCCCCACAUUUUUCUACUAUUUUCAUACCAAUCGAUUCAAGAUUUGGAUAUUCAAACAUAUUCCUGCCUUCAAAAGCAUGUCUUACAAAUAAACUCCAAGAGUCACUCUCCUCCAAUUGCCUUAAAUGAAGUAUCUGGGUGGAUCUCAUGACUGAUGCAACUUCUUUAUCAUGUGUUGUCACUAUCAUCCUCCCUCGAAAAGAGUCCGGGUUAAAAAUAAGUAGUAACUGCUCCAGCAUAUUCCAAUGUUUGAUCCAUACAUCAUCUAGAACAAGCAAAUAUUUCUUCCCUGCUAGCCGCUGUUGCAAUUGAUGUUUAAGUAUUUCCUUGUCUUCAUCAUAUAAUGUUGAUAAAGAAAUUGACUUGAGAAUUGAUUUCAUGAGAUGACGAUAGUUAAAAGAUUUUGAAACAUGGAUCCAUCCUAUAACUUCAAAUUGAUCCCUCGUCAUGUGGUCAUUAUAAACAAGCUGCGCAAGGGUUGUCUUACCUAUCCCGUUCAGACCCACGAUACUGAUUAUGGGUACCCGGUUGUCACCGUGACUGUAUGAAAGUAAAAAAUCAAUUAUUUCUUCUUUCUCAUGCUCUCUACCAUAUAUGAUAGAUUCAUUCAUGAAUGAUGAAGUUCCAAAAUUGCUGGCUCCAUCUUCAUGAUAACAAUAAUCCUGAUGAAGUUGCAAUCUAUCAUUUUGUUUUGCAAGAACCUUUAGCCUCUUGAUCAAUACUUUAAUCCUAGAUUCAAAUCGAUUGAUAGAACCUGAAAGAAAGCGUUGUAUCUUUCCCUUUUGUUGUGCGGCGUCAGUAGCAAUGACAUCCAACAGUUGCUCUACUUCGUAUAUCUUAUUCCUGAUAUCAUCAACCCAAUUCUUUACGUCUAGAUUUUCGUACUGCUUUGUCUCUGCGUCAUCAAGCACUUUAUUGAUUGAAACCAAUGUGAUUUCAAGUUUUUUCACAUGCUUUUCAUGGAAGUAGUCACUCAAAUCUGUUGAAGCUAAUCUCUCACAAAUCAAUUGAAUGACGGGGGAAAGAAAUGCCCGACGAACAACAACCUCUGCCAUGAUAUCAAUUAAUUCAACAAAACCAAAAUGAUCAGGGAUGCAGACUAUAUGCAAGAUCAGUUUGGUCAACGAAUCCCCACACCUACCAUAUUACCAUGUUGGUGGUAGUUCUGAUAACACAAUUACUAGAUCCGAUGUUGAUGAAGAUGGACAUGGAGAGAAAUGAAUCUUGAGUUGAAUUGAUUGGGUGAAGUUCGGAGAAACGUUAGAGAUGAGGAUGAUUGGAUGGAGUUGUUGAAUUUUCAAUGAUUUUUUUUCUAUACAUCAUACAUUAAAUAAGAUUUAGGGCUAAAGUGCACGCACUUUUUCACCCAUAACUUUCAAAAACUUGCAAUUUUGAUCCCUUAAGUACAAAAAUUACAAUUUUACCCUUAAGAUUUAGUCUCAUUGCAAAUUUGAUCAUUUUGAUCUAGUCGCAUGUCUGUAAUUAAUUAAUUAAAAAAAUUAAAAAACCAAAAAAUGAAUUUUUAAACUAAAUAAAUGAAAAAAGAAUUAAAAAAUCAGAAAAAGAAUUUUUUUCCUUCCUCAUCUUCUUCCUUCCUUCCUCUUCAACAUUAUCUUCCUACAACUUCAUAAAAAAACUCAAAAACAACUAUAUAGGUGAAAUAUUAUUAUAUGAUAUAUAUUCUUUUUCUUCUUCUUAUGAAAACACCCCUAUCACAUAAUUUCCAGAAUCUGCAUAUCCCUCUCUCUUAGCUCUCUCUUUGUUCCGUAAUUUCCACCGAUUUCAAUUUCGGUUCACAUUUACCAUACAUAUAAAUCAAACUAGUUCCCACAAACACAUCCUGAUCCAAACCACACUUCAAAACCGACUCAUGAACCAAUUUUCCAACCAUAACCCCAAGAAAGUUCAUGUCUGCUAACGGUAAACUUCUCUGUCCGAUUUUCCAACUGAACCAGUUUUGCAGCAAUUUGAAGGAAGGGGAAAGUUGGUGAUAGUUCUGAUAGCACAAUUACUAGAUCCGAUGUUGAUGAAGAUGGACAUGGAGAGGGAUGGCUUUCAAAUAUCACAUGAGAGAAAUGAAUCUUGAGUUGAAUUGAUUGGGUGAAGUUCAGAGAAACGUUAGAGAUGAGGAUGAUUGGAUGGAGUUGUUGAAUUUUCAAUUUUUUUCCUGAUUUUUUUAUUUUUUAUUUUUAUUUUUCAUUUACUUAAUUAAAAAAAUGAUUAUAGGUUUUUUUAAUUUUUUUAAUUCAAUAAUUACACAUGUGGCGUGCCAAGUAGGCAUUGAUUAGUCAAAAUUGGCCAAAAGGACCAAAGAUGCAAAUGUUUAAAUCUUAGAGGGUCAAAAUUAUAGUUUUUGUACAUAGGGGCCAAAAUCACAAUUUUUUAAAACUUAGAGGGGCACUUCAGCCUAAGAUUUACUGUGUAAAUUAAGAUACAUUGGAAAUGUAAAGUGAAAAUGGCCAACAACAAUUAAGUGGUUAAUGAGCUUCAAUCGAGUUUGGAUGGAUGGAAUAAUUCUUAGCCAAGUAGAUAUUGCGGAAGAACUUUGGAUUACCAACUUCUCAUUUUUUAUGAGAUGAAGCAAAGGAAGAAAAAUGUAAAAUUUCGGGUGCUUUUCCAUAUGAAAAGCAAUCUAUUAGAAAAGGUAAGUAAGUAAUAUGAAAUGCAAUCUAUAGCAGGAAAAAAAUGAUGAACAGUUAGCAUAGAUAGGAAAUGACUUGGGCGUGUUUCAAGUUUCAACUAAGUGAGAUAUGAUUGAUCACUAAAAUGAGAGAAUACAAAAAAACAAAAAAAAAAAAUUGGGAAACGUCAAUAAUUUAUUAUUCACAACUACAUUUUUAAAUUGAUAAAAAUGAAGAUAUCACUAAAGUGAUAUCACCAAAAUGAAAAUACUAUAGAAAUUUUAGGGGUCAAACACCCGUAUAGGCCACCUCCCUCUAUGCCGAUCACCAUGUUUUCUAAAGCUCCCUUUGUGGUUGAAGUUGACACCGUUCUCAAAUGCAUUAAAUCAAUCCUAAAUGGACAUCUUGUGGUAGAGAUGGGUUGCGAGCCCAACACCUUUUAGAUGCAUUGUGUGGAGAAGGUUCAAUUGUGACUAGAGAUCUUUUGUGUGAUAUCACUUUAGUGGUUAACCUAUGAUUAGGAGGAAGAUGUGCCUUGAGUUUGGUAGAGUUUGUAGCUUCUUCACCCUUGACACCAUUGUUAAAUCCUGAUGGUGGAAUACACCCUAUUGCAGUAGGUACUAUUUGGAGGCGUUUGGUAUCCAAAGUUGCUAUGAAAGGAGUUGGUAAAGAUAUGGCUAUCUCAAUGGAUUUCAGUUUGGUGUUAGGGUUUCAAGUGGGGCGGAUGCCAUUUUGCACAGUGUCAAUAGAGUAUUGAACCUACGACAUGGAGAUGAUUCCUUGACUAUGCUUACAGUAGAUUUUUCGAAUGCCUUCAACUUGGUAGAUAGAUCAGCACUGCUACGUGAUGUGAGAUUGAGAUGCCCAUGUAUUUCUCUAUGGGUUGAGUUUCUUUAUGGCGAAGCAGCGAGGUUAUACGUUGGCGGUGGGCAUAUUAUGUCUGCUUAUAGAGUGCAACAAGGUGACCCAUAGGGCCGCUCCUUUUUGCUCUUAUGUUACACCCUCUUAUUCAUCAGAUUAGAAAUAGUUGCAAGAUUCUUCUUCAUGUUUGGUAUCUUGAUGAUGGGACUCUUGUAGGGGAUUCAAAGUAGGUGGCUAAAGCUCUGGACAUCAUUCGAGUUUUUGGACUAGAAUUGGGUCUGGUAUUGAAUAUUCGUAAGAUUGAGAUCUUUUGGCCUUCAUGUGAUGUAAUCAGCAUCGCGAGGGGUUUUUCCCUAUGGAUAUUGGGAGGCCGUCAUUGGGGGUGAAAUUGUUUGGAGGGGUUGUUAGCUGAGAUAAUGGUUUUAUCGAGAGGUUGGUCAUGAAGAGAGUUUCCAGUGUUGUUGAGUUAAUGCACCUUCUUCCACAGUUACGAGAUCCUCAGAGUGAGCAUCUUCUACUUCGAUCAUGCAUGGGUAUCGCCAAAAUUUUCGUUGACCUAAGAACGUGCCAACCAAUUCACAUGGAGGAGGUGGUUGUGUUGUUUGAUAAAGAGUUGUGUGGAGCGGUUGAGGAUAUUGUGGUUUAUGGAGGUCCAUUCUUUGGGGACCUUCAAUGGAGGUUGGCUUUUUUACCUAUUAGGUCUCUUAUAGAUAGUUGGCAAGUGUACCAAUAACUAUCGAAGUAGUAAUAAAUAUUGUUCCACAACACUGGAAACUAUUAAUUCCAAUUAUAGCAAGUACGUUAUUAUUUUAGGAUAUGUAAAAGUUAUUUUGAUUGCCCCAUGCAGAUGAUUUGAAUGUAACAGAAGUAAGUAAAAGUUGUUUGAAAGAUGAUUUGAGAAGAAUGAUUAAGCCGAUGAAUCCCCUAUUGUUCUAUAUGAGUAGUUAACUCCCUUAUUUACUAAUCACUAUUUAGUCUUUACGACAAAUUAUCUAAGUAGUUUUGAUCAAUCUCUUGAAUCAAAACCCUUUCCUAAGUUAUAACCUUUUAAUCUCUUAAACCGAUUGAAUAACCGCGGAAGCGAUGUCUGAACGUUAAUUCAUAUGUCAUGAUUCUCAAUUUCCUAUCUCUAGGUUCCUAUGUUGAAUCAAACAUGAUUACUAAUUCAGGAUUAAAAUCUAGGGUUAGUGGUCAUUCAAUUCCUAAUAUCAAUUCAUGUAAUUUCAAGAAGCUAGGGUUAAUAGUCAUACAAACAAUUAAAUGAAAGCAAUGAACACAAGUGAUUCUGAAUAAAGACUGAAUAAUAUUAUUAAAUAAGAGAGUAUCAACUACUAAAUCAUAUAUUACAAAGGUUCAUCAUGGCUUAAUCAUACCAAGAGUUUAGCUACUCAUGGCUUUACGAUUAUAAACAUAAAUAAGAGUGAACAUACAUAAAUCUGGACCAACUAUGAGUUGGUAUGAGAUUCAGGGCUUGUUCUUCGGUCUCCUGGUGUCUUCUAUGCUCAAAAUCGCACUUCCCAAUCAAUCCCUAAUCCUUGGCCGCAGCUGGCCUUAUAUAGAAAGAAUUUUAGGGUUCCAAAAAGCCCAUCAUCGUGCCACGAUACGAUCCAAUCGUGGCACGAUAGCUUCAUUAAUCCUACGUGGCAGCAGACAAAACCUAGCAUUAUGGCACAUUGCAUAUUGCUUCAUAACACGAAAUUUCCAGCGCUGAAUCCUUUGUCCCACGUUCAAAUGCCGUGCCACGAACAAGCUUCAUCAUGGCACGAUGCUUCACUCUUAGGAAUUUUUAAUCUUUUUCUCAGUUUCUUCUCUUUGAGCUCUUGUUCCUGUUUUGGUCUGAUUUAACCAUGAUUUACAAGCAGUUGUCUCUCUAAAUGUCAUAAAAACGACAUAAACAUAGCUAAAAACUAGUGUUGAUGCAACAUCAUCAGUCUCGGGGGUUGGGUUUAUACUCACCAGUAGAGGCUUCCUCGUACGCUUUUGUGGCUUCUAAGGCACAGUUUGUUGAAACAAAAUGUGUUUAACAUUACCACCUUAAGUUUUAAUGAUAAAAAAGUAUUAAAAAGUCAAUUGGAUAUGCUAAUAUGAUGGUGAGAAAAACACAAGAAGGGGGGUUGAGUUGUGGUUUCUUUUUCUUUUCUCCUAUUGAAGUCACUGUUCAGAAGCAGAUAGAGUUCAGCUUCUAAAGUGAGGUUCAGAAUCUAAAUGCAGCAAAUAAGUAAUGAAAGAGAGAGAGAGAGAGAGAGAGAGAGAGAGAGAGAGAGAGAGAGAGAGAGAGAGAAGAAAGACACAAAGCAAUUAUACAUGUUUCUUCCAUAAACCGGAAGUAGUUCUGUCCCCCUUGCACUUCCAAGGAGAGUUCACUAAAAUCAAUAUAUUUGAUUACAACAGCUCACUGCUAAAACUAGCAAGAGACUUGAAACUACUCAAUCACAACUACAAGAUGUUUCCUAUGCUCAAGAACAAAAUCAAGACACUUCCUAUGCUCAAGCACAACUGCAAGAGACUUCUAUUCAAAUAGAAUUACAAAGAAAGAUGUUUAAGGUUGAAGACUUGAUAUACAAUCAGUGGUGUUCACAAUACAAAUCAGAUACAGACUCUUAAGACUCUAGAAUUUCUAAGAUAUGAAAGUUGAUAAGAAAUUCUAAGUGAGGUAGUUAAUUAUAACAAUUGAGUAAAUCAUCCGUUGUACUUUGAGGGCUGCUAGCAGGUGUUGCCGUUGUGAUGUUGUGGGAGUUUGCUAGCAUUUUUUUGGUUGUUGCUGAAAUGGUUAUGCUACGAGGCUUUUGUUCUUUUAUUUGGACUUAUAGGUUGCUGAUAGUGAGACAGGUCUAUGCGUGUUAACAAAUUUUAUUAGGUUGGCUGCUUAAAUAAAAAAAAAGUCACGAUACCUGAUGCGGUUCUAGAAACAACGACAAUUCUCACGAUAAUUGGAAAUUAUGCGGCAAUUUGGAACGACAAAAUUGAACAAUCAAAAUGGGAAGAAGAAUGAAAAAGAAACAAAAAUUGAUCAAUAUGGAAGAAUAAAGAAGAAGAAAUUUGAAAGAAUGAGAUGUUUUUAUUCUCACGUUUGGGGUUCUGGAAUGGAAGAAAUUUUAUGAAUGUAAAUGAUGAAUUUAAGGACAUCUAGAUGAAAGAAAUUUAAUGUAAAAUUUUAUUUGUUAUAAGUCUUGUAGUUGUAAAGUAGGAAAUGUCCCUUUCUUGUACCUAGGUAUGCCUAUUGGUGGUAACCCUCGAAGAUUGUGUUUCUAGGAACCUAUUGUGAAUCAUAUUAAAUCUAGACUGUCGGGUUGGAAUAGUCGGUUUCUCUCUUUUGGUGGUCGCUUGGUUCUACUCAAAUCUGUCUUGACAUCUCUGCCUGUCUAUGCACUUUCCUUCUUCAAAACUCCAACAGGUAUAAUCUCCUCUAUUGAAUCUUUGUUAAUUAAUUUUUUUUUGGGGGGGGAGUGAGGAUAAUAGGAAAAUUUCUUGGUUAAGUUGGCAAACUGUUUGUUUAAAACAUGAGUAUUGCGGUUUGGGGGUGCGGAAAUUGAAGGAGUUUAAUUUAGCUUUGUUAGGAAAAUGGUGUUGGCGGAUGCUGGUGGACAGAGGUGGUUUGUGGUAUAGGGUUUUAGUCGCCAGGUAUGGCGAAUUAGGUGGCAGGUUGGAGGUUGGGGGCCGGAGUGUUUCUUGCUGGUGGUCGGAGGUGAGGCGACUUAGGGAUAGGGUAGGCGAUGGUGGUAGCGGGUGGUUUGAGGAUCAGGUGUUGAUGAGAAUGGGUGAUGGGGUUGACACUUCGUUUUGGUCUGAUAGGUGGAUAGGGGAGGCUCCUCUUUGUGUGCGGUUUAGACGGUUGUUUGAGUUAAUAGAGAAUAAGUCUAUGUCCGUCGCCGACUUGCUCUCUGUUGAUUCGGAGCGGUGGGGGGAGGUGUGGAGGUGGAGACGUAGGUUAUAGCAGUGGGAGGAGGAGUUGCUAGAUGAGUGUAGGGCUUUACUUCUUGAUGUUUCUUUGAAUCCUAAUGUUUCAGAUAACUGGGUGUGGCUUCUGGACCCAUCUGGUGGAUACACAGUUCGAGGUGCAUAUAGUUUGUUAAUCUCUCAAGUACCUCAGGUCGCCGACUAUGCUAUGGAUUUUGUGUGGCACAAACAGGUUCCCUUGAAGGUUUCUGUUUUUGCAUGGAGGCUCAUCCGUGAUCGUUUACCAACAAGGACUAAUUUGAUUGCUAGACGGGUGUUGUCGCCUGACAUGUCCUCGUGUGUUGCUGGUUGUGGUCAUCCUGAAUCGGCACGCCAUCUAUUUUUAUUGUGUGAUACUUUUAGUUCUCUGUGGCAUUUGGUGCGAGAUUGGAUUGGUUGCUAUGGGGUGGAUACAGAUAAUAUUUCAGAUCAUUUUUUACAGUUCACUCAUUUGACAGGUGGUGGUGUUGCUAGACGUUCUUUUAUGCAACUAAUAUGGCUUUUAUGUGCCUGGGUUGUUUGGAAUGAACGUAAUAACCGUAUGUUUAAUCAUGUUGUUACCCUCAUCUCUUGUUUACUAGAUAAGAUUAAGCUGUUGUCUCUAGGUUGGUUGAAAGCUAAAAAAGCUACCUUUGUUUUUGGGACUCAGCAGUGGUGGUCACGCCCUCUUGUUUGUUUGGGUAUUGACUAAUGUUUUUCUGGUGUGUUUUGUUUGUAAUUGUUGUAACUCUUGGUUUCUGAGGUAGUCUCUAAGGCACAUCUUGUGCAUUUGAGACUACCCUAUUUCGUAUAUAAUUCCAUUUUAGCUUGUUCAAAAAAAAAAGAUUGAACACCUUAAUAUAAAAAAAAUAAAUCAUUUGUUGUUUCAAAAAAAAAAAAAAUUAAAAAUAUUAAAAGUUACCUUAUGAUUAAGAUUAACUCUCCUUAAAAAAAAAAUUAAGAUCAACUCUUUUAUUUUUAAAAAAAAUCUACUCAUUUAUUUGACAUUUAAUGGUACCUAUAUAUAUUACAUUUUGAUUAGUUGAUAUCAUGAGAGGGUAAAUUACCCUCUAAACAAGAGAGCGUAACGUAGGCCUCACCCAGGGGAAGCCGUUAAUUAAAGAUAUGAAGGCUUGAAUAUAUUAGAAGAUGGGAUCAAUAAUUCAGCAGCGACAUGAGUAAUCAUAAGAAAACAUUCUAUAAAUAACAGGUUGAUAUAUAAUAAAAAUCUUAUAUCAAACUUUGAUAUAAAAAAUAAAAUCUUAAUGUUCAAUGAACAGAAGAAAAUGAAGAAACAUUUGGAAGAAAAUAUUACCUCUAGAAUUAAUGGUUGUUGUGGAUAAUUCAGCAGUGACUGAACACAAGAGCAUGCAAGAAUAGGUAGGAUCUUUUUUUUAGGCAAAUAUUAGGUAGGAUGCAAUCAAAAACGAAAAUAUAUAUAUAUAUAUAUUCGUCGGAUAUUUUAUCAAAAUAUAUUUCGUCGGAGAUCCUAAAUUAUCCAAUAAAAAAACAAAAAUGAAAAAUUGGAUGGUUCAUGCCUCAUGGUGUGUGAAUCUGGUUUUAAAAAUGGUAUAUAUAUUAUUGGAUGCAAAAAUUAACAUCAAAUGUACACUGGCUUAGUGGCAACACAGACUGACAAUGUCUCACACGUGCCUGGUAGGAGAAAACAAAAAGCGGCUGCCUUUGACACGUGUCAAAAUCUGCCGGUCCCGCCAUUUCAUAUGGCGGUAAUGGCAAAAAAAAAAAAAAAAGUGGUCAGUCAGGAUGCGACACGUGUACCGGCGGCCCAGUCCCGCCGUUUCAGAUGGCAGGAACGAGGAAAAAGACAAAAAAAAAAGUUGAUCAUUUUGGUAAAAAAAAAAUCAAAGGGGAAAAAAUUCACUUUUAAAAGUCUAGGUACCUGAACAGGAAGGUUCCACUUGGUUUUGUUUAAUUACAAUUUAAAAUUCUUCAAUUUUUUUUAGUAAGAAUCAAACUAUAAUUAUAAAAGAGUUGUGUUAUUUGAACAACCAUUUUUAUGACAACUUUCGAUACAACCAUAAAUUUGUAAAGAAAAAGUGGUAUUGACACAAAAAUCAAAGCAAUAGAGAGAGAAAGUAAAAACAUAAUGUGAGUAUGAGAGAGAAAAUUGUCACAAAAGUUGUCAAAAAUAGUUGUACAAAUAUCAUUUCUCAUUAUAAAAUUACUAUUUUAAUCUUAACUAAAAAUGCACAAGGGAGAGCCAUUAAUUAAAGAUAUGAUCAAUAAUAAUUCAGCCCCUAGCAUACUUAAUCACAAGAAAACAUUCUAUAAAUAACAGGUGGAUAUAUAAUAAAAAUGUUAUAUCAAACUUGAUAUAAAAAGUAAAAUCUUAAUGUUGAAUGAACAGUAGAAAAUGAAGAAACAAUUGGAAGAAAAUAUUACCUUUAGAAUUAAAGGUUGUUGUUUAGAGUUCAGCAGUGACUUAACACGAGCAUAUGCAAUAUUAGGUCGGAUGCUUUUGUUUUAGCCAACAUUAGGUUGGAUGCCAAUUAUAGUGCGUUGAUGCCCUUUAAAUCAAAAAGUAAAAAAAGUUAAAACAAGUGGUAGGAAGGUUCCACAUGGUCAACAUGACUCAAGAACAGGAAGGGUGUUAUGAAGUUACUUGCAUAUAGGUGGACCCAUCUGGUAGCUGAAACAGUGGUAGCUAGUUUCAUCCAGUUUGGGGAGGAAGGUGUAAAAAGAGGGGAGGGAGGUGUGAAUACGAUAAUAUACAAGGCUGGUUGUGAGAUGUAUGUAUGGUAGCUAGUUUCACACAGCCAGCGGGCCUUCCAGUUCAGUCCAAUUGCUGCAGCGAUUUGGCACCCCUAUCUUUUUAUUUCAAGGGACAAAUUCAAGUCGGAUGCUUCAAGGAACAAGUCUAAUUUGGAGGGUUUGGAGCUUGACGGUAAAGUGGUUCUGGUUCCUUGAGGUGUGUUUCUGACGCGGAUAGGAAAUUUCAUAUAUCUUCUCCAAGCUCGGAUGCACGUUAUGGGUGUGAUUGGUUUGCAAAACAGAAGUACCAGAGAACAGUGCAAGAUAGGACAGCACAAGCAGAACAACACAAGACGAAUUUUUAUGGUAUUGAAUAAUUUUCUUUAUUAUAUGAUUUUUUGGUGACGAAAUGUUAUUUUUGUAUUUUAGACACGUGUGACAAAAAGUUGUGCUGUGGUUUGGCGAGGGGACAAAAAUUACAGUUUUUGUCCUGUCCCUUACCUCCAGUUUGACCUGUUUCUGAAACUGUUUUACAAAUCAAACACUGGACAACUGGAGUUGUUUUAUCCUGUCCUUCAUUUUUUAUAAAAUCAAACGCACCCUAUAGGUCUCUCGUCUUUACUCGUGAUGCGGUGCAAUAAAGGAGGCGGAGACAAAAGGGGCAAUUUUGAGUUGGAACCUUCCUCUAUUCCAAAACAUAGUAUUGAAUCAUAUAGAAGAGAGAUGGAGUGCAGAGUCAUUUCAUCUUAAGGCAUCGUUAGGGAGAUGUUGGUUCCUCGGCCUCCGACACAUGGAUGUUUGCCAUGUAUACCACCUAUGCUUUAUUCGUUUUUGUCCAGAGAAAGGGGUUCCUACACCCACACCUCAUAGGGCAUGGAUGUUUCAGGGUCUUCACUUGACCAUUCAGCUUGAGGAGUUUCCCCUUAGGUAAAAGUAAAGGGUUAGUUAUUCUUUCAGUAGGGAGGAUGGUUUUUAGACUGAUAAGAUGAUGGGUUUUGAUGAAAAAGAUAUUAUCAUGACAAGGUGAAGGAAGUUUGUUGAGGUGAAUAGUGUUGGAACAAAAUGUGUUUCACAAUGAACCUUAUUAAGUUUUGAUGAUAACAAGGUAUUAAAAAUUGUCAAUUGGUUAUUACUAAUAAUUGUUCAAGUGUACAGGACCAAAAGGCUACUCAAGUUAUUUCAAUAGGUCUUGGAAGAACAAUGGAAAGAAAAAAGAAAUUCUGAGCAUCUGAAGAAAACUGCUCCUGAAGCUGAAGUGCUUCUAAAGUGAUGACGUCAUCAGAAGCAGAAAGUCAUCAGAAGCAAAAGUUUUCAUCAGAAGCAAUAUCUUCACCAGAAGCUACGUUUGAUCCUUUAAUCAAACUGAAGAUUCAAAGUAGCUGAUUCUCAAUUCAGUCUUAUCCAAGAAGAACGAAGAAUUGAAAGGGAGGUAUCAACGGAUAUAUGGAUAGCACUGAGCACUUGUCUCUCGUUAAUAGAGUUGACAAAGUACAAGUGUACAACCACUACCUCCACUACUCUGUUUUCUGUCUACGCUACAAGACAAAACAACAGCCAUGCCUGCAUAAUUUGUACGUUCAAGAUGGGAAUGAAUUUGAAGCUUAUUCUUCAAAGGACUACACCCAAAUCAGGCAAAGGAUCAUUGGUGGAUAAUCAAAGGAUUUCAAACGACUCUUUAGACGUGCUGAUUAUCUCAACGUCUCUUUCACGCCUCUAUAUAAAGGAGUGAAGACUUGAAGAUUAUACAUAGAGAUACAUAAAUUCAAAAGCGCCAAAACUCUGUCAAUUUGAUUCUACAAAGCACACUGAAUUUCUGCACUGAUUUGAUACAUCUUAGAAAUUCAAAGUCUAGAGUCUUUACUGUAUUGUAUUGUGAACACCACUGAUUGUAUAUCAAGUGUUCAACUCAAACUCAAUUCUCUGUAUUUUUGUUUGAUUAGAAGUCUCUUGCCUGCGUGCUUGAGCAUUAGAAGUCUCUUGCUUAGUGCUUGAGCAUUGGAAGACUCUUGCGUGUGUGCUUGAGCAUUUUUGUGAAGUCUCAUACUUAGAAAGUAUUGAGCAGUUGUAAUCUUUGUGAUUAUAGUGAAAUCUCCUUGGAAGUGCAAGGGGGACUGGACUACUUCCGUGUUGUGGAAGGAACCAGGAUAACUGCUUGUGUCUUUGUCUUUCUUUUCUCUGCUCUGUUCUUUUCCGCUGCAAUCUGACUCUGAUCAUUUCAUCAGAAGCAAUCAAACUGCUUCUGAAGUUUUAUCAGAAGAAGUAUUUUUUAAGAGAAAAAGAAAACACAAUUCAACCCCCCCCCCCCCCCCCCCCCCUUCUUGUGUUUUUCACCUUUAAAUAGAUGAUUAUAGGAUCUAAUAAUAUUAAGGGUCUAGAUGGUAGGAUCAAGAAGACAAAGGUACGAGACUUCAUUGCAUAUAACCAUCUUGAUUUUCGUUGUGAUACAUGAAACUAAGUUAGAUCAAAUUUCAUAUGCUCUAAUUUAUUUACCUUUGAUAGAAUUCUUUUUGUGAUUGGAGUUUCACUCCGUCGGUUGACAUAAUGUUGGGAUUAUGUCUAUUUGAUGUAAAACCAACUUGACUUUAGUCUUCUCUUUUUGGAGCCCCGACUAUAUGGGGAUGUGCCUAGAUUAGGGGAGAAAAGGGUAAUGUGGGAUCAUAUGAUGAGUACUUUUAAUGCUUUGGGGGUAUUUGGUUGGUGUGUCUUUGGUGAUUUUAACUCAGUCUAGGAGGAGUGCGAGCAGAGGGUCGUUCUUCAUAUCUUAGGAGUGGGGACACGAUUUAGAUCACGGUCACGGAGUUUGCUAAUUUUGUUUCCCAAAUCGGUCUCUUUGAUCUACCCCUCAUUUGAAGGCAAUUUUUGGGGUUCCAACCUCAUGGAACCGCAAUGAGUUGCUUGGAUUGUAUUCUGAUAUUUGUUAAAGUCAUUGCUUUUGAAAAUAAUUCUGAACUAGUUUCUUGAUCAGCUCAUAUUGGCUUUGCAGUGCUUGAAGCUUCACCUUCUUUGACUUGUCAUGACCACCUUAUGCUUUAUUAAGAGUAUCCCAAACACCUUUUGUGGUUUCUUGAUAAACUAUCUUUUCAAAGAUAUUGGGAUCAACACUUGAAUGAAUUAGGAACAAGCCUUUUCCAUCCGUCUUCUUUUGCUCUCAAUUGGCAGAUCUUUGUGCAUCACCAGCAUUAUCUGGCAAAUCUAGAACACAUCUUGAAAUCAUUCACAUUCACGAUUUCAAACACAUCUUGAAAUCUGAAUAUGACUUUCAUUUUAGGACACCACUUGUCACAUUUCUGACCUUUGAAGAUGGGAAGAUUUGCAGGAAAAAUGUCCAUUGUUUGUGGAAUUCGCCAUUGUUGAAAAUUAAAAUUGUUGUAUCCAAGAUCGAAUCAAUUGUUACACCAGUUUGUUGGAACACUUGAUGGUUUUGAAGAAGGGGAAAUGUGGUAAAAGGAGAAAAUGUGUGCUAUGUGAAAGAAUCAAAAGUUUUUAUUUAUUAACAAUUGUACAAUUAACAUCCGUUGAGAUUACUUAUAUCCGAAAUAGCUCAACUAACUCUAAAACAAACUAGUUGCUUGGCUAACACGUUACAGACUCAACUAACUAUAUCUAAUGAUUAAUUGUCCAACAUUGAAUUACAUCACAAAAGUUAGCACAUGUUAUUUGAAAGGACAAAACUUAUGCACAGUUUCAUACCUGCUGUUUUUGCUAUUUUCAAAUCAAAACGUGACAUCUGUACAACUUAUCCACGUCAGCUAACGUAGUGAAAACGGCGUGAAGUUCUUAACGUUUCCAGCAAAUUCCUGUUUUAGGAGCACUACACAACCACCGUCCCCAUGCGCUAACAACAUAAACUGGCAAGGAGAGAAUCUAAAAGAGCAAGGUAAAGAAUUGAUGGAGAUGCACAUAAAGAGUAAGAGGAAUGGGUUGGAAUUUUGAUUGAAGAUGUUAAAUACAUUGAUUUUAUGUAUUUAUCUCUAUGUACAGCUUUAUCAUGGGAUUGGAUGAAGAGUUAUGGGACAUACUGGAAGAUGGAGUUGAUGAUCUGGAUUUGGAUGAAGAAGGAGCUGCUAUAGACAGAAGAAUACAUACUCCUGCUCAGAAGAAGCAUUAUAAGAAACACCACAAGAUAAGAGGAAUCAUUGUGGCUUCUAUACCUCGCACCGAAUACAUGAAGAUGAGUGACAAAUCUACUGCGAAGGCUAUGUUUGCUUCUCUAUGUGCAAACUUUGAAGGCAGCAAGAAGGUGAAAGAGGCUAAAGCUUUGAUGCUAGUUCAUCAGUAUGAACUUUUCAGAAUGAAGGAUGAUGAGAGUAUAGAAGAAAUGUACUCAAGAUUUCAAACUUUAGUUUCUGGAUUGCAAAUACUGAAGAAAAGCUAUGUUGCUUCUGAUCAUGUUAGUAAGAUUUUGAGAAGCUUACCUUCAAGAUGGAGACCCAAAGUAACUGCUAUUGAGGAAGCUAAGGAUUUAAAUACUUUAAGUGUUGAAGAUCUUGUUAGCUCACUCAAAGUGCAUGAAAUGAGUUUAAAUGAGCAUGAAACCUCUAAGAAGAGUAAAUCCAUUGCUUUACCAUCUAAAGGAAAGACUUCAAAAUCUUCCAAAGCCUACAAAGCCAGUGAAUCUGAAGAAGAAUCACCUGAUGGAGAUUCUGAUGAAGAUCAAUCUGUAAAGAUGGCUAUGCUGUCCAACAAGCUUGAGUAUCUGGCAAGGAAGCAGAAGAAAUUUUUGAGCAAGAGAGGUAGCUACAAGAACUCCAAGAAAGAAGAUCAUAAGGGAUGCUUCAAUUGUAAGAAGCCUGGUCAUUUCAUUGCUGAUUGCCCUGAUCUUCAGAAGGAGAAGUUUAAAGGCAAAUCCAAGAAAUCAAGCUUCAACUCCAGUAAAUUCAGAAAGCAAAUCAAAAAGAGCUUGAUGGCGACCUGGGAAGAUUUGGAUAGUGAAUCUGGUUCUGAUAAAGAAGAAGCUGAUGAUGAUGCUAAGGCAGCCAUGGGGUUAGUGGCAACAGUAUCAUCAGAAGCAGUAUCAGAAGCUGAAUCAGAUUCAGAAGAUGAAAAUGAGGUAUAUUCCAAAAUCCCUAGACAAGAACUUGUUGAUUCUCUAAAAGAACUUUUAUCCCUGUUUGAACACAGAACCAAUGAGUUGACAGAUUUAAAAGAAAAAUAUGUUGAUUUGAUGAAACAACAAAAGACAACUCUAUUGGAACUGAAAGCUUCUGAAGAAGAACUCAAAGGGUUUAACCUCAUAUCAACAACAUAUGAAGAUAGACUCAAGAGUCUUUGUCAGAAGCUACAAGAAAAAUGUGAUAAAGGUUCAGGCAAUAAAAAUGAGAUUGCCUUGGAUGAUUUUAUUAUGGCUGGAAUAGACAGAAGCAAAGUUGCUUCUAUGAUCUACAGCACAUACAAGAACAAAGGCAAAGGGAUUGGAUAUUCUGAGGAGAAAUCCAAAGAAUACAGUCUCAAGAGCUACUAUGAUUGUAUCAAGGAUGGAUUGAAAUCCACCUUUGUGCCUGAAGGUACAAAUGUUGUUCAGUCAAAACCUGAAGCUUCUGGUUCACAGGCUAAGAUCACAUCAAAGCCAGAAAACCUUAAGUUCAAGGUUAUGACAAAAUCUGAUCCUAAGAGUCAAAAGAUUAAAAUUCUGAAAAGAUCAGAACCUGUUCAUCAGAAUCUGAUUAAACCAGAAUCUAAGAUCCCAAAACAAAAGGAUCAGAAGAAAAAAGCAGCUACUGCUUCUGAGAAAACAAUACCCAAAGGUGUUAAACCUAAAGUAUUGAAUGAUCAGAAGCCACUCAGCAUUCACCCUAAGGUACAAGGGAGGAAAAGUAAAACCUCCAAAACUAACCCAAAAGGACCCAUGAAGAUAUGGGUACCUAAAUCUGAAUUGGCUAAAAAUGCAGGUGUGCCUAAGGGCAAGAGAGAAACAAAGGUCAUGGUACCUAGACAGCGGAUGUUCAAGGCACAUGACUGGAGAGAAAGCUUUGUUCCUUACCCUUACAAUGAAAGAUGGAGGAGAAGUGAAGUUUGGUGGCAACCAAACUGGAAAGAUCAUUGGUACAGGUACUAUUGGUAAUUCCUCCAUCUCAAUUAAUAAUGUGUGGCUAGUAGAUGGUCUGAAGCAUAACUGUUAUACCCUGAUUUUGGACCUAAAAAUACUCGUUCAAAUUUCUUUUUUAACACUAAUAUUUGUCAAUUCUCUGUUAUUUUACUCUGAAUCUUUACUAUCUUUUUAAACGUAUUAUACUGCCUCUGUCUUUUCUGACAUUACAAGUCAUUUAAGAACUCUGAAAUGUCGCGUUACUUUUCUUGCACUUUAUUUCAAAAAAUCAUACAAAAGGGUAUUUUGGUCAUUUCCUGCAGUGGAACCCAUUUUUGUCCCUGUAUUUGUCUCUAAGUCUCUUCAACUUGUCUGUACAAAUCAUCGUUGAUUCUUUGUUAAAAAUCAUUUCAAAAUCGCAUCUGAGUCAAUUUGGGUCAGUUUAGUCCCUAGGGGCAUUUUGGUCUUUUCCUGUCAAAAUUUUGACAGGGAGGUAUUUUGAAAUACCUCAUGUCAGUAUUUGGUUCGUUUUAGUCCUUUUGUUGAUUUUAUUUUAGGUUUCACUUUACGUUUUGUCAGGUUACCCAUUUUAUUCCAAUUUUAUUUUUAUUUUUAUUUUGCAUUUUGGUCCUCAAAGAAGUCCAAAGCUUUUCAGUCCAGAACUUUUUAUUUUACAUUUCAGUCCUUUUUGGUUAAUUGCAGUUUAGUCCUUAAGUUUUUAUUUUUGCAGAAAGGUCCCAAAUUCAUUUCAAGUCCAAGGCCGUGCCAUUUUCAUACAAGUCCAGGUGUCACCUUUUCAUUGGGUCUCAAGUACACAUGUCAGAUUAUAAAUAGUGCACAGUGCCACACAAAGCCAUUAAUCACAUGCCAACUCAACAAACACAAUCAAGCUUUCUCUCUCCUUUCUGUUAGGAUCAAAAGAUCAAAAAUUCCCAAGAACACGAAGAACAUAAACCCUAAUUUUCUGCAGAAAUCAUAGAAAUUCAUCAGAAAUCAACGAAUUUCACAUCGAUCCUCAGAGAUUCGUGUGAACCUUCAUCACUGGAUUGGAGAUUUCCCUACAAUUCCAAGUGCGAGCUCACAUUGAAGCAAGCUCAAGCACUGAUCACAGGAAUUCUCACGUGGAUCUAAGAAGCAAGAAGCAAGCUCAAGCACGUAAUCACAGAGAAAGAAUCGGAGAAGAUGAAGAAACCAAGCCAGUAAACCGAUUUAUUUUCGGUUCAAAAAGCAACCAGAAAUCAUCAAGAACAAAUCGAAGUUUUCCGAAGAAACUCAGCAGAAUCUCCAUCAAAACUCAGGUAAAACUCAUUUUUUCUCUUUAAUGGCGUUAAUCAUAGUUGAACCUGCAUGCAAACGAACAAACCAGAUCUAAAAAGUUUCCAGAACAGAAAGCGAACUGAACCGUAUGCGCAAGAUCUAGAUCCAUAAGGACUUAGACUUUGCAAGCAAGAACAAGCACCAGAGAAGUAACAAACACGAAACGAUGUAGAUCCUUAAGAGUUUGAACGUACUCAUUCAAAACCCUAAAAAAAAAAAAAUUUCAAAACCGUAUGAAAAUUCUCCGAUCUACGUCGUUUCAGGCUUUGUUUGUGAAAAUCAAUGUCAGAUUCGUGUUUAGGGUUUAAAAACGAACAAGAAAAUGUAAAAAAAUUUGAAUUCUGGGUGUUUUGCUCGUCGGAACCCUAACUUCUCACCGGAGAAGAUGAAGUUUCCGGUGGAACCUUCAUCUUCUCCGGCCAACAACCACCGGAGAAGGGAGGAGAGAGGUGAGAGGUCUGAGAGAAGAGAGAAGUUUAGAGAGAGAGAGAGAGAUGAAAGAAAUGAAUUGGACCGGUGUCCAUAUGCUUAUAUAGACGCCUGAACCGGUCCGGUUCAUUUUGUUUUCAUCCUGGACCGUAGGAUUUAGGGUUUUGUUAUUUGAAUGGCUGUGAUGCUUUGUUUCCAUGUGCUUGAUCUGUGUUACCAUGCGCUGCUUGUUUUGAACCGUCAGAUCUAGGUCUGGAUCAAUCUAACGCCUCUGAGGCCUUUGGAUGAUCCAGGCCCAGUCUGCAUUGGGUUUUGGGUUGGGUUUAAGGUUCCUUUUACGUUUUUACCUUUUUCUUGCUAUCUGUACCCCUACUUUUUGCUAUCUGAACCUGUUUCUUGCUCACAUAUUUUUACAAAAAAAUUCCUAAAAAUCCUAGGUGUUUCUUGAUACAUUUUUCGUAUUUUUAUGGUGUUUUGCAUGUAAAAAAAAUGGUAAAAUGGCAUGAAUUAAUUCCCAUGUGUUUUUACAUUUUUGGUAUUCUUUUGGUUAUGUUUUUUUGUUCUUGACACUUUGAUAUGUGACAUGGAUGAUUGAUAUACAAUAUUGUAAUGAAUAUGCCUCUGAUCAUGUGUCCUUUUUGCUGUUUUUGGAUAUGAUUUUGUAAAUUUCUUGUUUUGCAAACAAUAAGUGUUUGUCUUAAGGAAUAAAGUGUCAAAUUUCUCUAUGAAUUUGGUGUGAUACUUUGCUUGCAUAUGUCUCUAUUAAUUUCAUGUCAUGGCUUGAAACAAAAUCUUUUUCAAAAUUGCCAUGAUGUGAGAAUUAUGGGUCACAAGCACAUUUAGGUAUCAUAUCAAAUUUUUUAGGUUUUUACCACUUUAUUACUUUCCUUUUUUGCCGUUCUUAUGCAAUUUCUUUUUGUUUAUUUCCUACUAUUUUGUGCCUUAUCAUUACUAACCAUUUCAUUUCAUGUGCCAUACAUUUCAUAAGCAUUUCACAAUUCCAUUCCUAUUCCUCAUAGUUUAGGGUUUAUCUCUUUUAUUUCAAUGUUACUUUGGCAUGUAAUAUUUUAGAUAGUUUUAAUUUCUUUUAAGAUUUUUUCAAGACCAUAGAAUGUAUCUAGGACAAUGUAAAGGACUAUGGACUCUCUAAUAAUGUACACCGACACAAGCACCGACACUCGCACACACGUUGCAUGAUUAUCGAUUUAGGUAUAUGUUUAGGAAUUCGACGCCUAGUGAAAUUUCUCCUUCGAAAUAGGCUAAAUUUUCCAAACAAACUUUGGAGUCAAAACUCCAAUGCCUUUUUGUGAAAUAAAAAUAAAGAUCAAAUUCGACAUUUUUCUUCUAUGCCUUACGGCUUCUCUCCUCGUUUUCAAAAAUCAUUUUCCAAGUAAAAUAAAAACCUCAAUCAUCUUCUCCCCUUAUUCUUCACUCAAAUAAAAUAUCUUCUUUUCAAUAAGUAGGCAAUAAAAAAUAAAGCGUAGAAAUAAGCUUAGGAGAACGGUUCUUAUGGAGUACCAUAAUCGCUCCGGGUGCCUAACACCUUCCCGUAGCGAAAACGACCCCCGAACUUAGAAUCUAAGGGUUUUUUCUCAAUUUUGCCCUUCCCAAGAAAAAAUAGAGAAUAUCAAAGAUUGAAAGGUUCAAGCCAAAUUAAUGACUUGACACCCGAAAAUCGCGAUAACAGAAAUGGCGACUUCACUGAGGAAUUUUUUUUUAGCGGGUCGCGCCUAGUUUUCCUUAGUUUAUAUUUACGCUUUGUUUUAUUGCUUACAUAUGUGAAUACUUGUUUACUUUCAUUUGACGUGUGGGGUGAGAAUAUCAAAAGUCCUAUACCCGGGCUGAGUGAACUUAUGUUUAGGUAGAGAUAUAAUCGACAAUUCGAUCCGGGGGUUGCCUCGUGUAUUGGAUUAUGCGAUCAAUCUCACAUAGCUGAGGCAUUUUGAAGGUGAUAUUGUCGGCGUGUGUUGUUAUGCUUAGGCAUUUCACUUUCAAUUGUUCGACGAAGCUAUGAACCGUAGUUACCAAACCCAUCCUAGCCUUUUUAGGACGUAGUGCGGUGGCUAAAUUGAGUGUUGUCUCAAACUUUAGUCGUCACGCGAUACUACACUCAAACUAGACCUUCUCACAAAUAAUCAUGGAACGGGUGUCGUCCUGUACUACCAUGAUAUAUGUGAGAGAGGUUGCAGUUUGGGAACUGUGUUAGAACCUUGGUUACUACUAUCCAAAAGCUUAGUUCACCGGACGCCGUGUCCAUCCGUGGCCCUGUUACUUUGAAUCUCAACCCACCUUGUUCUUUGUAACUAAACAACACAAUCAUGCAUACAUGCAUUCAUGCAUAAACAUUUUUCAUGCAUUCGUCGAAGGGCUUAAACAAAUGGAAAUUUUUGUAAAUAAUCACAGGUAUGAAGAAGACUAAGUGCUACAAGUUCAAGGAAGUGGAUUUGGUCAGUUUAAGAGAGUUGGCACUCAAGGUCAAGAGUCAAACAGGGUUCCGACUCCGGUAUGGGGGAUUGCUUACUUUGCUCCGAACCGAUGUGGAAGAGAAGCUAGUGCACACUCUAGUGCAAUUUUAUGAUCCGAGCUUCUGUUGCUUCACUUUCCCGGACUUCCAGUUGGUUCCUACUCUCGAGGCUUACUCCAAUCUAGUGGGUUUACCUAUAGCCGAGAAGACGCCUUUCACCGGUCCCGGGACUUCUCUUACUCCUCUGGUUAUUGCUAAGGAUCUCUACCUCAAGACGUCCGACGUCUCCAACCAUCUUAUUACCAAGUCUCACAUCCGGGGGUUCACUUCAAAGUAUCUUCUUGAGCAGGCUAAUCUCAGUACUACUUGUCAGGAUACACUCGAGGCUAUUCUUGCUUUGCUUAUCUACGGGCUCAUUCUCUUUCCGAACCUCGACAACUUCGUGGACAUGAAUGCUAUCGAGGUCUUCCAUUCCAAGAACCCGGUUCCUACUUUGCUAGCGGAUACCUACCACGCCAUUCAUGACAGGACUCUCAAGGGCCGUGGGUAUAUUCUUUGCUGCAUAUCUCUUUUGUAUAGGAGGUUUAUUUCGCACCUUCCGAGUUCCUUCCAUGACAACUCGGAGAACUGGUCCUACUCGCAGCGGAUUAUGGCCCUCACUCCUAAUGAGGUCGUCUGGCUCACUCCUGCCGCUCAGGUGAAGGAAAUCAUUAUGGGUUGUGGGGACUUUCUCAAUGUACCUCUUCUCGGUACUCGUGGAGGAAUUAACUACAACCCCGAGCUUGCUAUGAGACAGUUUGGUUUCCCUAUGAAGUCGAAGCCCAUCAAUCUUGCUACAUCUCCAGAGUUCUUCUUCUACACGAAUGCUCCUACCGGACAAAGGAAAGCUUUCAUGGAUGCUUGGUCCAAGGUUCGAAGGAAGAGUAUGAAGCAUCUAGGCGUGAGAUCCGGUGUUGCUCAUGAGGCCUAUACUCAGUGGGUGAUAGAUCGAGCUGAGGAGAUUGGCAUGCCUUAUCCAGCUAUGAGAUACGUGUCUUCAUCUGCCCCAUCUAUGCCUCUACCUCUACUCCCCACGACUCAGGAUAUGUAUCAGGAGCAUCUAGUUAUGGAGAGUCGUGAGAAGCAAGUGUGGAAAGCUCGGUACAAUCAAGCUGAGAAUCUAAUCAUGACUUUGGAUGGUAGAGAUGAGCAGAAGACUCAUGAGAACCUGAUGUUGAAGAAGGAACUAGCUAAGGUCCGGAGGGAAUUGGAAGAGAAAGACGAGCUGCUUAUGAGGGAUUCCAAGAGAGCCAGAGGACGACGAGACUUCUUUGCCAGAUACUGUGAUUCAGAUUCCGAGUCCGAUGAUUCUCCGACUACUUCCUAUGCUUGAGGGCUUCAUCUGUUUAUCUUGCUGAAAUUUCGAAGUCUUCCUUUUGAAAAUACUAUGUAGUUCUGAUUAUUUGCAAGAUUUCUAAUUUGUUUAAAAAUCCUUCGAUGAAAAAAGAAGUCUUUUGCAUUUGCAUUUGCAUAUCAUGCAUCAUAUGCAUCAUGCAUUGGUCACAAAGGCUUCCAAGUACUCACUACCUCCUGGUUCCUCUGCCACAGUUUGAAAAGUGGCUCGUGCUCAGAAGGUCUACGAACCUGACAGAAUCGAUCGAACCAGAGAAUACAGAAGAAGGAAAAAGGCUAUGGAAGAAGAGAACGCUCAGCUCCGUACCGAGUUAGCCACUCUAAGGGAGGAAUUGGCUAAAGCUAAUGAUGUCAUGACUGCUCUGCUAGCCGCUCAAGAACAAUCAGCUACGGCUAUCCCUAUAGCCACAGCUGUACCGGUGACUACAAGCGUGCUCCCAACCACAUCUGCAGACGCUCGCUUUGCUAUGCCAGCUGGGUUUCCGUAUGGGCUUCCACCGUUCUUCACUCCCAGUACUGCAGCGGGCACUUCGGGCACUGCUAACAAUGUUCUGAUCCCUGCAACAAAUGCUGCCUCCAUCAAUGCUACUUUGCCACAAACUACGGCAGCUGUCACUGAGCCUCUUGUGCAUACCCUGCCUCAAGGUAUUAACAUCAACACACAGCACGGAAACAUCCCCGUGACCAAGACCAUGGAAGAGAUGAUGGAGGAACUUGCUAAAGAACUCCGUCAUGAGAUCAAAGCCAAUCGAGGGAAUGCGGACUCUUUCAAAACUCAAGAUCUCUGCUUGGUGUCAAAAGUGGAUGUCCCUAAGAAGUUCAAAAUCCUAGAUUUCGACCGGUACAACGGGCUAACUUGUCCCCAAAACCACAUCAUCAAAUACGUCCGAAAGAUGGGCAAUUACAAAGACAAUGAUUCCCUUAUGAUCCACUGCUUUCAGGAUAGUUUGAUGGAAGAUGCCGCAGAGUGGUAUACUAGUUUGAGCAAAAAUGAUAUCCAUACCUUCGAUGAAUUAGCCGCUGCUUUCAAGAGCCACUACGGGUUUAACACCCGAUUGAAGCCGAACAGGGAAUUCCUCAGAUCUCUCUCCCAGAAGAAGGAGGAAAGCUUCCGUGAAUACGCACAAAGAUGGAGGGGGGCAGCUGCCCGCAUUACUCCCGCUCUUGAUGAAGAAGAAAUGACCCAGACAUUCUUAAAGACCUUGAAGAAGGAUUAUGUUGAGAGAAUGAUCAUAGCUGCCCCGAAUAACUUUUCGGAGAUGGUCACCAUGGGAACCCGUCUGGAGGAAGCCGUCAGGGAUGGAAUCAUUGUGUUCGAGAAAGCUGAAUCCUCUGUGAAUGCAUCGAAGAGGUAUGGUAAUGGACACCACAAGAAGAAAGAAACGGAAGUAUGGAUGGUGUCAGUUGGAGCCGGUCAAUCCAUGGCUACUGUUGCUCCUAUCAAUGCAGCUCAAAUGCCUCCGUCAUACCCAUAUGUGCCGUAUUCUCAGCAUCCUUUCUUUUCGCCAUUUUAUCAUUAGUACCCUCUGCCACCGGGUCAACCUCAAGUACCCGUCAAUGCAAUUGCUCAACAGAUGAAACAACAGUUGCCAGUUCAACAACAACAACAAAAUCAGCAAGCUAGACCUACUUUCCCUCCGAUACCGAUGUUAUAUGCUGAGUUGCUUCCAACUUUACUCCAUAGAGGGCAUUGUACAACCAGACAGGGCAAGCCCCCACCUGAUCUGCUGCCUCCAAGGUUCAGGUCCGACCUCAAAUGUGAUUUUCAUCAAGGUGCCCUAGGUCAUGAUGUCGAGGGGUGCUAUGCUUUGAAGUAUAUCGUGAAGAAGCUCAUUGAUCAAGGAAAGCUGACUUUUGAGAAUAAUGUCCCACAUGUCCUCGACAAUCCUCUUCCAAAUCAUGCCGCUGUAAAUAUGAUCGAAGUAUGUGAGGAAGCUCCUAGACUUGAUGUCCGUAACGUCGCAACUCCUCUGGUGCCUCUACACAUCAAGCUGUGCAAAGCUUCUCUGUUCAGCCAUGAUCAUGCCAAGUGCCUAGGAUGCCUUCGUAAUCCUUUGGGUUGCUACACUGUUCAAGAUGACAUCCAAAGCUUGAUGAAUGAUAAUUUUUUGACUGUCAGUGAUGUCUGCGUGAUUGUGCCAGUUUUUCACGAUCCGCCUGUCAAGAGUAUACCUUUGAAGAAGAAUGCUGAGCCUUUGGUGAUAAGGUUGCCUGGACCGGUACCGUAUACUUCAGAUAGGGCUAUCCCGUACAAAUAUAAUGCUACCAUAAUCGAAAACAGAGUAGAAGUGCCUCUGGUGUCCUUGGCUAUGUUGAACAAUACUGCCGAAGGAACUUCAGCAGCCCUAAGAAGCGGAAGAGUCCGUCCACCAUUGUUUCAAAAGAAGGCAGCUACGCCUACCGUGCCACCCAUUGACAAGCCAACCCCGACUGAUGUUUCUCCCGUUAACAGAGACGCGAGCCAACCAGGCCGGUCUAUAGAGGAUUCUAAUCUGGACGAGAUUUUGAGGUUGAUCAAAAGAAGUGAUUAUAAGAUUGUGGAUCAGCUGUUGCAAACUCCGUCGAAGAUAUCCAUUUUGUCUCUACUCCUGAGUUCCGCUGCCCACAGAGAUACCCUUUUGAAAGUAUUGGAGCAGGCUUAUGUGGAUCAUGAAGUAACUGUGGAUCACUUUGGUAGCAUAGUGGGAAACAUUACCGCCUGCAGCAACCUGUGGUUCAGUGAAGAUGAAUUGCCCGAAGCAGGAAAGCAUCAUAAUCUGGCCUUGCAUAUCUCCGUGAAUUGCAAGUCCGACAUGAUCUCAAAUGUGUUAGUAGACACUGGCUCAUCUUUGAACGUGAUGCCCAAGUCAACGCUGGAUCAGCUGAGUUACCGGGGAACUCCCUUGAGGAGGAGCACUUUUCUGGUCAAAGCCUUUGAUGGAACCCGCAAGAGCGUUCUCUGGGAGAUAGACUUGCCAAUAACUUCGGCCCCGAAACCUUUCUAAUCACCUUUCAGGUCAUGGAUAUUAAUGCCUCUUACAGCUGUCUCUUGGGAAGACCGUGGAUACACGACGCGGGAGCAGUGACCUCUACUUUGCACCAAAAGUUGAAAUUUGCAAAAAGUGGAAAGCUUGUUACCAUUCAUGGAGAGGAAGCAUACCUGGUUAGCCAGCUAUCGUCUUUCUCUUGCAUAGAAGCAGGGUCUGCAGAGGGGACCGCUUUUCAAGGAUUAACUGCCGAAGGUACGGAGCCCAAGAGGGAUGGAACUGCUAUGGCUUCUUUGAAGGAUGCACAGAAAGCCGUCCAAGAGGGUCAAGCUGCCGGCUGGGGCAGGUUAAUACAUGUCAUACCCCAAAUUUUGACCUAAGGUCACACUGACACACGUCUCCGAACUCGGACCAGACUCACAUUUCAGUGAAAAAUUCGGCCGGGAGGUAUUUUGAAAUACCUCAUAAAAUUCCGAAUCGGGCCCUCUUCUCUCAGUCUAAAAUUAUUUCCAUCUUUUAAAUUUUUAUUUUAACUUUAGUCUAAAUUUAGAUUAAAUUUCUUUUAUUCCCAUUUUAAAUUUUCCUUUUUAUCCUUUUUAAAACCAAAAAUAUAGACAUUAUCCUUUUAUUAUUAAUUUUUCUUUUUAAUUAAGUCCCAAAAUUGUCCAAUGAUAAGUCCAACAAAAUAGUCCAAAUUCAGAUAAGCAGUCUCUCAUCUCAAUCCUUAUACACGUUUUGUUCCUUUUUCAUCCCAAUCCAAAUCCAGUUCACGCCUCAUCUGAAACAAAUCCAGUAAAAACAGACGCGUUUCCCUUUUUCUCCUCCACAAGCCACUGCUUUUUUGCUCAUCAGUAACAAACCCUAGCCUCAACCUCACUCUAUAAAUAGAGACCUGCACAACAAAGAAAAACGGAAAAAACAGAGGACAGCAGAACGCAGCAGAACAUACGAAAAAACAGAAAGAAACAGCAGAGAAGCCAAGACAACAACAACAGCACACACACACGCACAACAGCACACACACGCCACAACAGCACACACACGCACAACAGCACACACACGGACAGCAACUCACACACAAAAGGGGGUAGACGGUGACGAAUUUGAACCAGUCACAACACGGAAUUGCAAACGACACGGACACCAUCAGAAUCGUAAUCAAGAGGAAGAAUCGGAAACAAGCAGAUCCGGGACCAGAAUCGGAACAUAGCACGAAAAAGGUAGUUUUUUUAAUUGUUCACGUUUUCUUUUAGAUCCAGGCUUAGUGUUUUGGUUUGAGGAGAUUUUGGCUUUAGAAACAUCAAUAGGAAGGAGAGAGGGAUAUAAAGAGCGAAAAAAAAUAAAUAAAGGGGAGCUUUUUAGCUCCGGCGCGGCGGCGCAGCCGCGAUGGCUCGCCGGCCACCGCGCCGGAAUUCCCCCGGCCACCCCAUCUCCAACCGGAGAAGAAGAGAGAGAACAGAGAGUUUAGAGAGAGAAGGGGACGGAAGAGAGAGAAGGAGGGAGAAGAAAUGAAGGAAUUAGGGUUUACAACCCUUAUAUAUCCCCAAACCGGGUCGCCCAUGACCCAUGACCCGCGACCCGUUUCGUUUCCUUAAAGCCCAAUUCUUUUUUUUUUGCUUUCUGCACACCCCUGUUUACUACUGCACCCCACCAUGUGUUUGGACUUUUUUUUUAUUUUUAUUUUUUCCUUAUUCGUAUUUAUUUAUCUUUUAGCAUUUUAAUUUUUAUUGCAGACCUUAGAAUGCAAAUAGUACAAAACUACAAAAACAUUUUUCAUAAUAAACCUUGAUCCAAAUCAAGUGACCGCAUUUUUAUUUUCUUUUCUUAAUCAAACAUCAAUCAAUUUAAUUCUACCUUGAGUUUAUUUUCAUUUAAAUUAAAAAACACAAACAAAUUCUUAUUUGCCACUUGGCUUUUCCUUUUAAAACCUUUUUCAAAACUAAUAAAAAACAUACAACCAAUCAAACGUCAAUUUCUACUCCGAACUACGAGGUUUUGAUCCCUCACGGGUACGUAGGCAGAGGACCAUGUCCUUCCAAAUCAAUAAAAAAUGUAGAUAAAUUAGGUCUCACUUUCUUUUUCUUUUAAUCAUCACAUUAACUUCUUUUUUUCAAAAGCAAGCAAGUUAUAGCACAUUAAAUUAAAUAAAACCAAGAGGUUCCCGUAGAGUACUACGGACAUAGAGGGUGCUAAUACCUUCCCUUUAUGUAACUAACCCCCGAACCCUAAAUCUUUUCAAAUAGGGGUAGUUUGAACUUUUUUCCCCUUUUCAUAAAAAAUUAAAUGUUCAGUCGUGAAAUAAAUUAGUGAGUCAAAAGCUAAUCAAAUAGCCUUGAUCUCCGAAAAAUGACGCGACAGAAAUGGCGACUUCACUGGGGACACCCCCUAAAGAGGGUUGAGCCUAACUUGGCCUUAUUUAAUUCUCUAUGCUAUAACUUGCUUAAAACAAAAAAAAAAAACAAAAACAAAAAAACAAAAAGAUGGAAAUAGUUGUAUAUAUCUUCUCUUUUCUUUCUCCUCUUUUCUCUUAAACAUGAGUGGUGAGAUAAAGCCCUACACCCAGGUUUGAGAGAAACAUAAGAUAGGACGGUGGUAUAACCAAAGUGCCUUUCCGAGAGUCAAGUCUCGUGUUUAGGUUCAUGUGGUAUAACCCCACUCAAUGGAGGGAUCUUGAAAGUAAUUUGUGUUGGCAUGAAUAGUCGUGUUGGCAUUAUAUUUUCAAGUGACCGUCGAAGUUGAGAACCUUUAGUUACCCUUAACCCAUCUUAGCCUUUUAGGACGUAGUGCGGUGGCUAAUCAAGAGUAGUCUUGAAUUAGUUGAUACGCGAUACUACACUCAAACGAAACUUUCAUACGAAUCUUAUUGGAUCAAGAGUAGUCUUGUAACUCGAUAAUAUUCGGAAGUGGUUAAUGACUUUGGGAACUUGGUAGAACCCGUGAUACAGGUACAAAUGAAACCAUAGUCCUUACCAAAUGGCAUUGUUACUCUAAGCUCCAACAUUGUGGACCUAACCUCACCAUGCAUGAUCAUGCAUACAUGCAUUCAUCCAUAAAAAACUUUUUUUUUUUUUUCAUCAAAAUAUCGAAGGACUUAGAUAAGUUUUCGUAAACAUCAAAGAUACGGUCCUUAUAAGAAGGAACACCAAGAAAUACAACUUCAAAAAUCUUAACUAAGCUUUAGCUUUUGUUAAGAACUUUUUCCUUGGUUUCGUUCUUACUUUUGAAAAGGGAACCAAUUGCAACAUCUUCACAAUUUUCAAAUAAAACAAUGUUCCUUAUCAAGUUUACAAUUACUUUGACAAGUCCUUCAAAAAAGAAACGUGUCUGUUUUUGCAUAAGCAUACAUUAUUUGCAUUCAUAGUUUCAAGUCAGAGUCUUACACUGUGUCUUUUCUACUAAAGGUCAGUCCAUCUCAAAGAGUCAUGGCAUCCUCGUCUGAAACUCACUCGCAUUUACAACACUCGAACAAUCAUGAAGAAAGGAUGAAGUUUCUCAAACAAGAAAAUCAAUUGCUCCGUGAGGAGGUGGCAGUCAUGCAAACUAAGAUGGAUGAAAUGACUGAAUUGAUGAAAGCAUUAACGGCUGCACAUAAUCAACCACCGCCUCCUCCUCCUCCUAUUAGCACUCAAGCCGAAGCAACUGUCUCUAUUUUUCCUGAAUGGACGAUACCUGUUAGUACUUCCCCAAAUUCUAGGCCAGAAGAUCGUCCUUGGAGUGUCCCUAUUUGUCUCAGUGAAGUAUUCCGCCCUAUUGCUUCUGAAACUCAGAUGCCUACUCAUCAAUAUGCAGCUCAUGUUCCUCCGCUUCCUGUAAGAGCUCCUCCAGUUGUCAUGACUUAUUCAACACCUAUGAUGCAUACCAUUCCACAAAAUGAAGAACCCAUCUUCCAUUCAGGGAACAUGGAGCCCAAUGAUAGAAUGAAUGACUUACGGGAAAAAUAUGAUGAAAUGCAUCGAGAAAUGAGGGCUCUCCGUGGGAAAGAAAAAUUUGGAAAGACCACUUAUGAUCUCUGUUUGGUGCCGAAUGUCCAGAUACCUCACAAGUUCAAGAUCCCAGAUUUUGAGAAGUAUAAAGGGAACUCCUGCCCCGAGGAACAUUUGAAAAUGUAUGUAAGAAGGAUGUAUGCAUAUGCUCGAGACGAUCAGGUCCUCAUUUGCUACUUUCAAGAAAGUCUGGCUGGUCCCGCCUCAAAAUGGUACACGAAUCUAGAGAAAACGAGAAUCCAAACUUUUCGUGAUCUAUGUGAAGCUUUUGUGGAGCAAUAUAGUUAUAACAUGGAUAUGGCGCCGGACCGAAGUGAUCUUCAGGCUAUGACUCAAGAGAGCAAGGAAACAUUCAAGGAGUAUGCCCAGCGAUGGAGGGAUACCGCUGCCCAAGUCAGCCCGCGUGUAGAAGAGAAAGAAAUGACCAAGCUCUUCUUAAAAACUCUCAAUCAGUUCUACUACAAGAAGAUGGUCGGAAGCACGCCCAAGAACUUUGCUGAGAUGGUUGGUAUGGGUGUACAAUUGGAAGAAGGAGUCCGAGAAGGACGAUUGGUCAACAAUACCCAAGAAAUUGCCGACUAGGUGGAGACAGGAUCUCUCUUGCACCUUCCAUCAAGGGGCACAAGGUCAUGACGUUGAGCACUGUUUCUCCUAGGAAAUUGAAGUCCAGAAGCUGAUCGACGACAAUGUGUUGCAUUUCGAGAAAUUGAAUCCGAGUGUGUAACUGCAAUUGGGUUGAUGUUUAUGUCUUCUCCUGCUACUCGAUUUGUCUCUAGGGAUAUGUUUGUUUGUUUACUACCUUUUCAAAAAACAUCCUUUCGUCCCGCCCGAGAUGAAAGUGAACUGGUGUAGGGCUUUUUACUUUAAGAAAUUGUCAUCAUUAAUAAAAAGGUCGUUUUGAUCCCGCCUUUACUUUCAUUUUGUGCUUUUUCUUGGAAAAAUGGUAAUACAAAAAACCCAAAAAAUAAUUAAUCAUUCACAAAUAUCUGCAUAAUCAUAACUUUUGUUUACUUGUCAAAAUCAACAAUAAAUCAUGCAUUAAUAAACCCGUUGAACACAUUUACCAUGUACUCUCUUCCAACUUUGAGUUCCUUGUAUCCGAAGCUGAAAGAGGCAUGAAUGAAGAGACUCAUGACAAGAUCUCUCGCCUACUGGGGCAUCUAGCCAUCAAAGCUACCAAACAAAAAUCAUGAAGAUAAUCCAGAAGAUGGCACUCACUUGCAAAGACUAGUUCGAGGUGCUACCAUUCGCUUUGCUCGGAUAUCGUGCUUCAGUACACAUUUCAACAGGGGCAUCCCCCCUCUUUCCCUCAAGUAUACAACAGGGAGGUGAUGCUUCCCGCACGAUCAAAGUCCCAACAAUAGGAGUUAUGUCAAAGUCCAAGCUUGAACAAACUUAAAAUGCAUGACGACCUUGUACAAUCAUGUCAAGAAAGUUUGAAAACAAACUUCCAACAAGAGGGUUCGUCCCCGUGGAAUUCAAGAAUGAGACUUUGUGCUCAAAAGGAUACUAUAUUUCCAAUCAGACUCCAGGGGCAAGUGGACGCCUAACUAUGAAGGAUCGCGUGCAAUAACUUCUCCAACCAUGGAUGACAAACUCGCACUUCCUAUGAAUGCCGGUGCGGUCAAGAAAUACUUUGUCAAAAAUAAUAAAGCUCGAUAAGUCGCAAACCUUAAAGUACGGCUUAGGCAAAAAUGAGCGUCUCGGUGGACUGAAAACCCAAAAGGGCGGUCCGGGCAAAAGUUAGAGACAUGAACAAAAACGAUUAUCCUGAUAGAUUGAAAACCCGAAAGGGCGAUCUAUGCAAAAGUUAAGGAUCAAAAAGACAAAGUAACUGCAUCCGGUCAAGCACAAUCCACUUGGGGCAUCCAGCUAUCAAAAGACCUCCGACUCGAAGCAUCUGCAGAUCAAAGACUCGGAACAGGGGCAUUCAAAGUUGUUAGGGAGAAUAAUGGUUACUGUGUUCAAUGUACCCUCCCCAUUACAUUUACCAUUUUUCCAAAAUUUUCAAAAAAUCCGUGGAGCCAUGCCCUUGGCAGGUCACCACUCAAUUCAUCAAACUUGAGCCUGUGCCCAUUUAUUUGGAACUCUCAUUUAUUCUAUUUGCAUAAUUUCUUCUUAAAGCAAAAAAAUUUCAAAAUACAAAACUUUUUUUUUUUUUUUUUUUUUUACAUCUCUUGAAAAGUGUGAACAACAAACACAUUCUCUUUGAACUCGUGAGUAAGUGAAGUAUACAUCAGCAUCCGCCUCGAUAACGGUUACACUCCGGAAGAGAAACAUGACUAAGUACUAUGGAGAGGUCCUAUACUUUGAACAAAAUGUUGUCACAGUCAAAAAAUACAAAAAAAAAUAAUACAAAGAAGCUCGCUAAGUUGAAAACCUGAAAAGGCGACUUAGGCAACAGAGAGCGUCCCGGUGGACUGAAAACCCGAAAGGGCGGUCCAGGCAAAAAUUAGGGGCAAAACAAAAAAUAUAUUCCCGGUGGACUGAAAACCCGAAAGGGCGGUCCAGGCAAAAAUUAGGGAUUUUUCUUAAUAAAACAAAAGGUAUGACUGCUGAAGCAUACCAAUGGAAGGACACUCUGUGCCGGUUUACAAAUGGCGACUUCUUCCAGACUUCUUUCAUCGACAAUGGGCUCACCCCCCAGGAGGCAUCGGUGGCUACCUAGUGCCAGGUUCUUACACCAUCAACGGCUCGAUUUGCUCACAAUAAUAUCAUCUCCAAGGAAGGUUGCCGAGUGUUUGUAAUGCAAUGUCGGUCCGACUCCCAUCUUACCUGUCUUGUCUCGGUUCAUCGAUUCACGUGUCAUGUACAUUCAUAUAUCCAUACAUUCAUACAAUCAUGCAUUCACCAAUAUUUUCACAUAAAUCAUACGUUUACGCGUACACGACAUAUGCAUAACAUCAAUUCACACAUAAUUGCAUCAGUCAAAGCUUACCAUUGUGUCAAGCCGCAAGUUUCUACGAAUGAAUGUCAAUUUCAAUUUCAAAUUCAAAAGUGUCAUCCCCGGAAAAGCCGUGCUAGUUAUGUCACUAAUCAAUGUCAAUUUCAAUUUCAAAUUCAAAAGUGUCAUCCCCGGCGUAAAGCCAUGCUAGUUAUGUCACUAAUCAAUGUCAAUUUCAAUUUCAAAUUUCAAAGGUGUCAUACCCGGCGAAAAACCGUGCUAAGUCAUGUCACUAAUCAAUGUCAAUUUCAAUUUUAGUUUCGAAGUGACAUCCCCGGCAGAAGGCCGUACUAGUCAUGGCGCUAGUUGAUCUCGAUGUCAACUUCAACUUUAAGUAUCAUCCCCAGCAUAGCUGUUCUAGAGAUGUCACCAAUCCAAACUUUUCAAGCGACCGAUUCCAACAAACGAAUAGCCUAUGUCAGUUUUUUUCCCUUUCGAGCAACCGGUUCCAACAAACGAACAACUCAUGUCAAUCUCUUAUCUUUAUGCCCAGCGACCGAUUCCAACAAACGAAUAGCCUAUGCCAAUGUCUUUUACCUUCCGAGCAACUAGUUCCAACAAACGAACAACUCAUGUCAAUCUUUUAUCUUUAUGCUCAGCGACCAGUUCCAACCAACGAACAGCCUGUGACAAGUGGCCAAUUUCAACCAACAAAAAGCUUGUAUCCUUCUAUUAUUUCAUUUUCAAAACCAAGUCCACAAAUGGACAUUGGAGUCUGAACCAUUGCACUUUGUUUCGAGAUGUCGAGACAAUGAGGAACAACCAUUUUCCCCAGUGAAACCAGAUUCCCCAGUAAAGUCGGAUCCCUUUCUUCGAAGAAUUUGGGUAUCCUAGUGUCUUUUCACUCCAGUCGAGCCAUCAUUGUCAUCAUGCAUUCAUAAUUAAAUCAUGAGCAUUCAUAAACCUCUUAGGUCAAAAAUUGGUGCACUUUUGUAUUUAAGUCUCUUCGGCUCGUCGAGUCAAAGAUUUUACCUUCGAAUCUCUGAGCGAAGAAACUUAAAUAGGGGCAUCUGUCAUACCCCAAAUUUUGACCUAAGGUCACACUGACACACGUCUCCGAACUCGGACCAGACUCACAUUUCAGUGAAAAAUUCGGCAGGGAGGUAUUUUGAAAUACCUCAUAAAAUUCCGAAUCGGGCCCUCUUCUCUCAGUCUAAAAUUAUUUCCAUCUUUUAAAUUUUUAUUUUAACUUUAGUCUAAAUUUAGAUUAAAUUUCUUUUAUUCCCAUUUUAAAUUUUCCUUUUUAUCCUUUUUAAAACCAAAAAUAUAGACAUUAUCCUUUUAUUAUUAAUUUUUCUUUUUAAUUAAGUCCCAAAAUUGUCCAAUGAUAAGUCCAACAAAAUAGUCCAAAUUCAGAUAAGCAGUCUCUCAUCUCAAUCCUUAUACACGUUCUGUUCCUUUUUCAUCCCAAUCCAAAUCCAGUUCACGCCUCAUCUGAAACAAAUCCAGUAAAAACAGACGCGUUUCCCUUUUUCUCCUCCACAAGCCACUGCUUUUUUGCUCAUCAGUAACAAACCCUAGCCUCAACCUCACUCUAUAAAUAGAGACCUGCACAACAAAGAAAAACGGAAAAAACAGAGGACAGCAGAACGCAGCAGAACAUACGAAAAAACAGAAAGAAACAGCAGAGAAGCCAAGACAACAACAACAGCACACACACACGCACAACAACACACACACGCCACAACAGCACACACACGCACAACAGCACACACACGGACAGCAACUCACACACAAAAGGGGGUAGACGGUGACGAAUUUGAACCAGUCACAACACGGAAUUGCAAACGACACGGACACCAUCAGAAUCGUAAUCAAGAGGAAGAAUCGGAAACAAGCAGAUCCGGGACCAGAAUCGGAACAUAGCACGAAAAAGGUAGUUUUUUUAAUUGUUCACGUUUUCUUUUAGAUCCAGGCUUAGUGUUUUGGUUUGAGGAGAUUUUGGCUUUAGAAACAUCAAUAGGAAGGAGAGAGGGAUAUAAAGAGCGAAAAAAAAUAAAAAAAGGGGAGCUUUUUAGCUCCGGCGCGGCGGCGCAGCCGCGAUGGCUCGCCGGCCACCGCGCCGGAAUUCCCCCGGCCACCCCAUCUCCAACCGGAGAAGAAGAGAGAGAACAGAGAGUUUAGAGAGAGAAGGGGACGGAAGAGAGAGAAGGAGGGAGAAGAAAUGAAGGAAUUAGGGUUUACAACCCUUAUAUAUCCCCAAACCGGGUCGCCCAUGACCCAUGACCCGCGACCCGUUUCGUUUCCUUAAAGCCCAAUUCUUUUUUUUUUUGCUUUCUGCACACCCCUGUUUACUACUGCACCCCACCUUGUGUUUGGACUUUUUUUUUAUUUUUAUUUUUUCCUUAUUCGUAUUUAUUUAUUUUUUAGCAUUUUAAUUUUUAUUGCAGACCUUAGAAUGCAAAUAGUACAAAACUACAAAAACAUUUUUCAUAAUAAACCUUGAUCCAAAUCAAGUGACCGCAUUUUUAUUUUCUUUUCUUAAUCAAACAUCAAUCAAUUUAAUUCUACCUUGAGUUUAUUUUCAUUUAAAUUAAAAAACACAAACAAAUUCUUAUUUGCCACUUGGCUUUUCCUUUUAAAACCUUUUUCAAAACUAAUAAAAAACAUACAACCAAUCAAACGUCAAUUUCUACUCCGAACUACGAGGUUUUGAUCCCUCACGGGUACGUAGGCAGAGGACCAUGUCCUUCCAAAUCAAUAAAAAAUGUAGAUAAAUUAGGUCUCACUUUCUUUUUCUUUUAAUCAUCACAUUAACUUCUUUUUUUCAAAAGCAAGCAAGUUAUAGCACAUUAAAUUAAAUAAAACCAAGAGGUUCCCGUAGAGUACUACGGACAUAGAGGGUGCUAAUACCUUCCCUUUAUGUAACUAACCCCCGAACCCUAAAUCUUUUCAAAUAGGGGUAGUUUGAACUUUUUUCCCCUUUUCAUAAAAAAUUAAAUGUUCAGUCGUGAAAUAAAUUAGUGAGUCAAAAGCUAAUCAAAUAGCCUUGAUCUCCGAAAAAUGACGCGACAAUACAGCUUCGUGAGAACAAGCAUAAGGAAGGUCUUGGCUUCUCCCCAACUUCAGGAGUUUCCACCGGGGCAUUCUGUAGUGCUGGGUUUGUCAACGCAAUCACAGAAGAAGCAACUGGAUUUGGCCCGAGGCCUGUAUUUGUUACACCAGGAGGCAUUGCGAGAGAUUGGGAUGCCAUUGACAUUCCCUCAAUCAUGCAUGUUUCUGAGUAAUAUACCUUGUUGCUUAAGUAUCUUGUUUUUUCAAAAUAACAAUCCUCUCGCUCUGCCCAAAGCGAGGGUGAUAUUUUCUGUAAGGGCAUGUUUGUUUCGGCAUUGCCGUUGAUUAAUAAAAAAUUGUCGUUUCUUUCACGACUGCUUUUUUUAGUACCAUUUUUCCUUGGAAAUAAUGGUAAUGCCAGAAAAAACCAAAACAUCUGUAUUUUCUUAUUAAUUUCAAAAAUCUGCAUAAAAACCCUCUUUCUAAAAUCAUCCAACCAUUUUACGCAGAUUGAACUAUAAUAAACCCGUUGGGCACAGUAACCCUGCAUUCCCUCCAAAUUUUGAAUUCCCCGUGUAUGAAGCCGAAGAUGAGAAGGGUGAUGACAUACCAUAUGAGAUCACUCGGCUACUUGAGCAAGAAAAGAAAGCCAUUCAGCCUCACCAGGAAGAGAUUGAGCUCAUCAACAUAGGUACCGAGGAGAACAAGCGAGAGAUCAAGAUCGGUGCUGCUCUAGAGGAAGGGGUUAAAAAGAAGAUCAUCCAACUCCUCCGGGAAUAUCCGGAUAUUUUUGCAUGGUCGUAUGAAGAUAUGCCAGGUCUAGAUCCUAUGAUUGUGGAGCAUCGGAUCCCCACCAAGCCUGAAUGUCCUCCCGUCAGGCAGAAAUUGAGAAGGACUCAUCCAGAUAUGGCUCUCAAGAUUAAGAGCGAGGUUCAAAAACAGAUUGAUGUGGGCUUCCUCAUGACAGUUGAGUACCCUGAAUGGGUUGCCAAUAUUGUACCUGUGCCAAAGAAGGAUGGUAAAGUCCGGAUGUGUGUUGACUUCAGAGACCUGAACAAAGCCAGUCCGAAAGACAACUUUCCAUUACCUCAUAUUGAUGUGCUUGUUGAUAAUACUGCUCAGUCUAAGGUGUUUUCCUUCAUGGACGGUUUCUCCGGUUACAAUCAGAUCAAAAUGUCUCCUGAAGAUAGAGAAAAGACGUCUUUUAUCACUCCAUGGGGUACUUUCUGCUACAAAGUGAUGCCGUUCGGCCUAAUAAAUGCUGGUGCUACCUACCAAAGAGGGAUGACUACUCUGUUUCAUGACAUGAUUCACAAAGAAGUCGAAGUAUAUGUGGAUGAUAUGAUUGUGAAGUCAACAGAUGAGGAGCAACAUGUUGAAUAUUUGACAAAGAUGUUUGAAAGGUUGAGAAAAUACAAGCUUCGAUUGAAUCCCAACAAAUGUACAUUCGGCGUCAGAUCCGGGAAGUUAUUAGGCUUCAUUGUCAGCCAAAAGGGCAUUGAAGUCGAUCCUGAUAAAGUUCGGGCCAUCCAAGAAAUGCCAGCUCCACAGACUGAGAAGCAAGUCAGAGGUUUCCUCGGGCGUUUGAAUUACAUCUCCCGAUUCAUAUCUCACAUGACCGCAACCUGCGGGCCGAUCUUCAAGCUACUCAGAAAGAAUCAGCCUAUUGUAUGGAAUGAUGAAUGCCAAGAAGCUUUUGAUAGCAUCAAGAAUUACCUGCUGAAACCACCUAUCCUUGUCCCACCCGUGGAAGGAAGGCCCUUGAUUAUGUAUUUGGCAGUAUUUGAUGAAUCCAUGGGAUGCGUACUUGGUCAACAAGAUGAGACUGGAAAGAAAGAACAUGCUAUCUACUAUCUAAGCAAGAAGUUCACCGAUUGUGAAACUCGGUAUACAAUGCUUGAGAAGACUUGUUGUGCUCUGGCUUGGGCCGCUAAACGCCUGCGUCAUUAUUUGGUGAAUCAUACAACUUGGUUGAUAUCCAGAAUGGAUCCGAUAAAGUAUAUCUUUGAGAAAGCUGCUGUUACUGGGAAGAUUGCACGUUGGCAGAUGCUUUUGUCUGAAUAUGAUAUUGUGUUCAAAACUCAAAAGGCAAUCAAAGGUAGCAUUCUCGCCGAUCAUCUUGCUUACCAACCUCUUGAUGAUUACCAACCAAUUGAGUUCGAUUUCCCCGAUGAAGAGAUCAUGUAUUUAAAAUCAAAAGACUGCGAAGAACCGUUGAUUGAAGAAGGUCCAGAUCCCAAUAGCAAGUGGGGUUUAGUCUUUUGAUGGUGCUGUCAAUGCUUAUGGUAAAGGAAUUGGGGCAGUCAUUGUAUCCCCGCAGGGGCAUCACAUUCCUUUUACCGCCCGAAUUUUGUUCGAAUGUACCAACAAUAUGGCUGAGUAUGAAGCAUGUAUCUUUGGGAUCGAGGAAGCAAUUGACAUGAGAAUCAAACACCUCGACAUCUAUGGAGAUUCUGCGCUCGUCAUCAAUCAGAUAAAGGGUGAAUGGGAGACCCACCAUGCUAAGUUGAUUCCUUAUCGUGAUUAUGCGAGACGUUUGCUGACAUAUUUUACAAAGGUUGAGCUGCACCAUAUUCCUCGUGAUGAGAACCAAAUGGCUGAUGCUCUUGCUACUCUAUCCUCCAUGUUUCGAGUAAACCAUUGGAAUGAUGUGCCAUUAAUCAAAGUGCAACGCCUUGAAAGACCUUCACAUGUGUUUGCUAUUGGGGAUGUGAUCGAUCAGGCUGGUGAAAAUGUGGUUGACUAUAAACCCUGGUACUACGACAUCAAACAGUUCUUGCUGAGCCGUGAGUAUCCGCCGGGUGCUUCCAAACAAGACAAGAAGACCUUGAGAAGAUUGGCCAGUAGAUUCCUGUUAGAUGGAGAUAUUUUGUACAAGAGAAACUAUGACAUGGUAUUGUUAAGAUGUGUUGAUGAACAUGAAGCGGAGUAGUUAAUGCAUGAUGUACAUGACGGUACCUUCGGGACCCAUGCUACAGGACAUACUAUGUCAAGGAAGUUGUUACGAGCAGGUUACUACUGGAUGGCCAUGGAGUAUGAUUGCUACCAGUACGCCAGAAAGUGCCACAAAUGUCAAAUCUAUGCUGAUAAGAUUCAUGUGCCUCCGCACGCUCUCAAUGUUAUUUCAUCCCCAUGGCCGUUCUCAAUGUGGGGCAUCGACAUGAUUGGAAGAAUUGAACCGAAGGCUUCAAAUGGUCAUCGUUUCAUCUUAGUGGCAAUUGACUACUUCACCAAGUGGGUUGAAGCAGCAUCUUAUACCAAUGUGACCAAGCAAGUGGUAGCUAAGUUUAUCAAGAACAACAUCAUAUGUCGAUAUGGUGUCCCCAGCAAGAUUAUUACCGACAAUGGUACCAACCUGAACAACAAUGUGGUGCAAGCUCUUUGUGAAGAAUUCAAAAUUGAGCAUCAUAAUUCUUCUCCCUAUAGACCUCAGAUGAAUGGUGCAGUUGAGGCCGCCAACAAGAAUAUCAAGAGAAUUGUCCAGAAGAUGGUAACCACUUACAAGGACUGGCAUGAGAUGUUACCCUAUGCUCUGCAUGGCUACCGUACUACUGUGCGCAGUUCAACCGGGGCAACCCCUUUCUCUCUUGUAUAUGGUAUGGAAGCAGUUCUUCCUUUGGAAGUGGAGAUCCCAUCCCUCCGUGUGAUCAUGGAAGCAAAGUUAUCUGAGGCUGAAUGGUGUCAAAGCCGGUAUGAUCAGUUGAAUUUGAUUGAGGAAAAACGUAUGGAUGCCAUGGCUCGUGGACAGUCAUAUCAAGCAAGAAUGAAGACUGCUUUUGACAAGAAAGUCCAUCCUCGAGAAUUCAAGGUAGGGGAACUUGUAUUGAAAAGGAGGGUAAGCCAGCAACCCGACCCAAGGGGCAAGUGGACGCCUAACUAUGAAGGUCCUUAUGUUGUCAAGAAGGCCUUCUCCGGUGGUGCUUUAAUCCUUACACACAUGGAUGGCGUAGAACUUCCAAAUCCAGUGAAUGCCGAUAUAGUCAAGAAAUACUUUGCCUAGAAACAUGAAAAGAACAGCGUGGUAGGUCGAAAACCCGAAAGGGCGGCCUAGGCAAAAAUGCGCUUCCCGGUGGAUCGAAAACCCGAAAGGGCGGUCCAGGCAAAAAUAAGGGACAAAAAAUAUAUAUGAAAAGCUCGCUGAGAUUGUACACAACUCAGGCAAGAAUGAGCGUCUCGAUGAGCCGAAAACCCGGAAGGGCGGUUCAUGCAAAAAUGAGAUUGAAACAAAAGGCAAGUAACUAUAUCUGGCUAACCACCGUCCCCCUUGGGGCAUCUGCAGCUGUUAAUGACUAUCUUCAUCAAAAGCUCCUACGCUUGCAAAUUCAAAGUUUCUAGGAAAUGUAAUGAUUACUGUGUUCAAUGUACCACCAACCAAUAAAAAUUACCAUUUUCCAAGCUUUGUAAAUCCGUGGAGUCACGCCUUCGGCUGACCACCACUCUUAUACGUCAAUUUGAGCCUUUGCUUUUGUUUGAAAACUCUAUUUUUCUUCUACUUUCAAAGCUAUAUACAAAACAUUUUCCUUCUAUUUUUAAUAAUGACAAAGGCUCGAAACAAACAUCUUGAAAAUUGAAAAAGUUUUUUUGAAAAGCAAACCUGAGCAACAGGGUACAUUCAAAUGAACAUGCAUGAGCGAGUGUGUGUUGGUGUCUAUUUCAAUAUAUGUUACAAGCAGGCUCUUCCCCAGGAUGGUCUGUGGUCAAUGGCAAGAAUGGAAAAAACAGAAUGAAAAUGCAUGAAAAUGAAUAGGCUCGCUAAGUUGAAAACCCGAAAGGGCGGCUUAGGCAAAAAUGAGCACCCCGCUGGAUUGACAACCCGAAAGGGCAGUUCAGGCAAAAAUGGGGCAUUAAAAAUUUAUUUCCCCGGUGGAUCGAAAACCCGAAAGGGCGAUCCAGGCAAAAAUGGGAUGCAAAAAAUGAAUGAAUGAAAAUUGAGAAAAUAACAUGCAAAAAGCAUUGACCACAGAUGCGACGUCCACGAUACAUCCGGCAUUAUUCCCAGUAGAGUCUCCCAAGAUUCUAUCCCCAGCAAGUUGCAUAGCUACCUGCCCUCAGCCAUGGUUCCGACACGUCUCCCAACGACGUCAUCUCCAAAGAGGAUUUCCAAGAAUGUGUAAUAUAGCACGAGCCACUACGUGCCCAAUACUCCAAUGUCUUGUCUGUCUCUGCGAAACUGUGUCUACAAAUCGCCAACAGUCAUGCAUUACAAGCAUUCAUACAUACAUAAUCAUGCAUAUUACGUGCCCAUGCAUUUAAUGAAAUUGUUAUAUCAUUCAUGCAUGUUGCAUUUCCAAUGUCAACAUCAGUCUCAAUUCAAUACUCAUGUCGGGUUCUCUGUCAAAACCUUGUGAGCCUAUAAUAUUGGUCAAUUUCUACCUUUCAAAUCAAAUCGACGCCAAGUCAAUUUCAACCUAUGUUGUCAAAAAAACUAAUCCCCUGUGAAUUUGUUUUUGUUCGGUCAAGUGACUAGUUCAAGUCCAAGAACAGCUUGUACCUAUCAUUUUGCUUAUGUUAUCGGUCGAGUGCCCAGCUCAAUCCAAGAGCAGCUUGUACCUGUCAAUAUGUUUCUGUUUGGUCAAGUUACCAGUUCGCAUCCAAGAACGACUUGUACCCGUUUACUUUUCAAUGUUAUCGGUCGAGUUACCAGUUCGAAUCCAAGAACAGCUCGUACCUGUCUAUGUGUCUAUGAUUUUGGUCAAGUGGCUAGUUCAAGUCCAAGAACAGCUUGUACCCGUCUAUCUGUUUCUGUUCGCUCAAGUGGUUAGCUCGAUCCAAGAGCAGCUUGCGCCUGUCUAUUUUGUCUUUGUCUCCGGUGGAGUAACCAGUUCGCAUCCAAGAACAAGCUCGCACCUGUCUAUUUGCCUUGCUUUCAGUCGAGUGACUAGUUCAAAUCAAGAACAACUCGUACUUGUCUAUUUGCCUUUGCUUUCAGUCGAGUGACCAGUUCGAAUCAAGAACAACUCGUACCUGUCUACCUUUUCUAUGUCCCCGGUCGAGUGACCAGUUCGAAUCCAAGAACAACUCGCACCUGUUUGUCUGCUUUUAUCCCCGGUCAAGUGCCCAGCUCAAUCCAAGCGCAGCUUGUACCCGUCAAUUUGUUCCUAGUCUCCUAUCUACCCUGUUAUCUGUUAACUUACCAAUGUCUACCAAUCCCGCAAUGGAUACGACAUCUUUUGUUAAUUCCAGCUUUCGUUUGUCUCGCACUCAUAAUCCAAAUGUUGCAUGGCAUUCAUGAUAUUUGAAAAUGUACAAGCGUAUUUUUACGUCCAAACACAGUGCAAAUGUUAAUAUUUAAGUAUCUUCGUCCCGUCAAGCCAAAGACUCCGUCUCUUGACCCUCCAGACAAAGAAACUUAAAUAGGGGCAGCUGUUAUACCCUGAUUUUGGACCUAAAAAUACUCGUUCAAAUUUCUUUUUUAACACUAAUAUUUGUCAAUUCUCUGUUAUUUUACUCUGAAUCUUUACUCUCUUUUUAAACGUAUUAUACUGCCUCUGUCUUUUCUGACAUUACAAGUCAUUUAAGAACUCUCUGAAAUGUCGCGUUACUUUUCUUGCACUUUAUUUCAAAAAAUCAUACAAAAGGGUAUUUUGGUCAUUUCCUGCAGUGGAACCCAUUUUUGUCCCUGUAUUUGUCUCUAAGUCUCUUCAACUUGUCUGUACAAAUCAUCGUUGAUUCUUUGUUAAAAAUCAUUUCAAAAUCGCAUCUGAGUCAAUUUGGGUCAGUUUAGUCCCUAGGGGCAUUUUGGUCUUUUCCUGUCAAAAUUUUGACAGGGAGGUAUUUUGAAAUACCUCAUGUCAGUAUUUGGUUCGUUUUAGUCCUUUUGUUGAUUUUAUUUUAGGUUUCACUUUACGUUUUGUCAGGUUACCCAUUUUAUUCCAAUUUUAUUUUUAUUUUUAUUUUGCAUUUUGGUCCUCAAAGAAGUCCAAAAUUGCUUUUCAGUCCAGAACUUUUUAUUUUACAUUUCAGUCCUUUUUGGUUAAUUGCAGUUUAGUCCUUAAGUUUUUAUUUUUGCAGAAAGGUCCCAAAUUCAUUUCAAGUCCAAGGCCGUGCCAUUUUCAUACAAGUCCAGGUGUCACCUUUUCAUUGGGUCUCAAGUACACAUGUCAGAUUAUAAAUAGUGCACAGUGCCACACAAAGCCAUUAAUCACACGCCAACUCAACAAACACAAUCAAGCUUUCUCUCUCCUUUCUGUUAGGAUCAAAAGGUCAAAAAUUCCCAAGAACACGAAGAACAUAAACCCUAAUUUUCUGCAGAAAUCAUAGAAAUUCAUCAGAAAUCAACGAAUUUCACAUCAAUCCUCAGAGAUUCGUGUGAACCUUCAUCACUGGAUUGGAGAUUUCCCUACAAUUCCAAGUGCGAGCUCACAUUGAAGCAAGCUCAAGCACUGAUCACAGGAAUUCUCACGUGGAUCUAAGAAGCAAGAAGCAAGCUCAAGCACGUAAUCACAGAGAAAGAAUCGGAGAAGAUGAAGAAACCAAGCCAGUAAACCGAUUUAUUUUCGGUUCAAAAAGCAACCAGAAAUCAUCAAGAACAAAUCGAAGUUUUCCGAAGAAACUCAGCAGAAUCUCCAUCAAAACUCAGGUAAAACUCAUUUUUUCUCUUUAAUGGCGUUAAUCAUAGUUGAACCUGCAUGCAAACGAACAAACCAGAUCUAAAAAGUUUCCAGAACAGAAAACGAACUGAACCGUAUGCGCAAGAUCUAGAUCCAUAAGGACUUAGACUUUGCAAGCAAGAACAAGCACCAGAGAAGUAACAAACACGAAACGAUGUAGAUCCUUAAGAGUUUGAACGUACUCAUUCAAAACCCUAAAAAAAAAUAAUUUCAAAACCGUAUGAAAAUUCUCCGAUCUACGUCGUUUCAGGCUUUGUUUGUGAAAAUCAAUGUCAGAUUCGUGUUUAGGGUUUAAAAACGAACAAGAAAAUGUAAAAAAAUUUGAAUUCUGGGUGUUUUGCUCGUCGGAACCCUAACUUCUCACCGGAGAAGAUGAAGUUUCCGGUGGAACCUUCAUCUUCUCCGGCCAACAACCACCGGAGAAGGGAGGAGAGAGGUGAGAGGUCUGAGAGAAGAGAGAAGUUUAGAGAGAGAGAGAGAUGAAAGAAAUGAAUUGGACCGGUGUCCAUAUGCUUAUAUAGACGCCUGAACCGGUCCGGUUCAUUUUGUUUUCAUCCUGGACCGUAGGAUUUAGGGUUUUGUUAUUUGAAUGGCUGUGAUGCUUUGUUUCCAUGUGCUUGAUCUGUGUUACCAUGCGCUGCUUGUUUUGAACCGUCAGAUCUAGGUCUGGAUCAAUCUAACGCCUCUGAGGCCUUUGGAUGAUCCAGGCCCAGUCUGCAUUGGGUUUUGGGUUGGGUUUAAGGUUCCUUUUACGUUUUUACCUUUUUCUUGCUAUCUGUACCCCUACUUUUUGCUAUCUGAACCUGUUUCUUGCUCACAUAUUUUUACAAAAAAAUUCCUAAAAAUCCUAGGUGUUUCUUGAUACAUUUUUGGUAUUUUUAUGGUGUUUUGCAUGUAAAAAAAAUGGUAAAAUGGCAUGAAUUAAUUCCCAUGUGUUUUUAUAUUUUUGGUAUUCUAUUGGUUAUGUUUUUUUGUUCUUGACACUUUGAUAUGUGACAUGGAUGAUUGAUAUACAAUAUUGUGAUGAAUAUGCCUCUGAUCAUGUGUCCUUUUUGCUGUUUUUGGAUAUGAUUUUGUAAAUUUCUUGUUUUGCAAACAAUAAGUGUUUGUCUUAAGGAAUAAAGUGUCAAAUUUCUCUAUGAAUUUGGUGUGAUACUUUGCUUGCAUAUGUCUCUAUUAAUUUCAUGUCAUGGCUUGAAACAAAAUCUCUUUCAAAAUUGCCAUGAUGUGAGAAUUAUGGGUCACAAGCACAUUUAGGUAUCAUAUCAAAUUUUUUAGGUUUUUACCACUUUAUUACUUUCCUUUUUUGCCGUUCUUAUGCAAUUUCUUUUUGUUUAUUUCCUACUAUUUUGUGCCUUAUCAUUACUAACCAUUUCAUUUCAUGUGCCAUACAUUUCAUAAGCAUUUCACAAUUCCAUUCCUAUUCCUCAUAGUUUAGGGUUUAUCUCUUUUAUUUCAAUGUUACUUUGGCAUGUAAUAUUUUAGAUAGUUUUAAUUUCUUUUAAGAUUUUUGCAAGACCAUAGAAUGUAUCUAGGACAAUGUAAAGGACUAUGGACUCUCUAAUAAUGUACACCGACACUCGCACACACGUUGCAUGAUUAUCGAUUUAGGUAUAUGUUUAGGAAUUCGACGCCUAGUGAAAUUUCUCCUUCGAAAUAGGCUAAAUUUUCCAAACAAACUUUGGUGUCAAAACUCCAAUGCCUUUUUGUGAAAUAAAAAUAAAGAUCAAAUUCGACAUUUUUCUUCUAUGCCUUACGGCUUCUCUCCUCCUUUUCAAAAAUCAUUUUCCAAGUAAAAUAAAAACCUCAAUCAUCUUCUCCCCUCAUUCUUCACUCAAAUAAAAUAUCUUCUUUUCAAUAAGUAGGCAAUAAAAAAUAAAGCGUAGAAAUAAGCUUAGGAGAACGGUUCUUAUGGAGUACCAUAAUCGCUCCGGGUGCCUAACACCUUCCCGUAGCGAAAACGACCCCCGAACUUAGAAUCUAAGGGUUUUUUCUCAAUUUUGCCCUUCCCAAGAAAAAAUAGAGAAUAUCAAAGAUUGAAAGGUUCAAGCCAAAUUAAUGACUUGACACCCGAAAAUCGCGAUAACAAUAACCUAUUGAGCAUUAGUCAAUUUUGUGACAAUGGGUAUGAUGUAAUGUUCAGUAAGACCAACUGCACACUAGUCAACAAGGAUGACAAAUCCAUUACAUUCAAGGGAAAGAGAGUUGAGAAUAUCUAUAAAAUAAAUUUCUCUGAUCUGGCUGAUCAGAAGGUAGUUUGCCUUCUGUCAAUGAAUGAUAAAAAAUGGGUAUGGCAUAAAAGGUUGGGACAUGCUAAUUGGAGAUUAAUUUCUAAAAUUAGCAAGUUACAACUGGUCAAAGGAUUGCCUAACAUUGAUUAUCAUUCAGAUGCACUUUGUGGUGCAUGUCAGAAAGGGAAAAUUGUGAAAAGUUCUUUCAAAUCUAAAGACAUUGUAUCAACCUCCAGACCCUUAGAAUUACUCCAUAUUGAUCUUUUUGGUCCAGUUAACACUGCAUCUUUAUAUGGAAGUAAAUAUGGAUUAGUCAUUGUUGAUGAUUACAGCAGAUGGACUUGGGUAAAAUUCAUUAAAAGUAAAGACUAUGCAUGUGAAGUGUUUAGCAGCUUCUGCACUCAAAUACAAUCUGAAAAAGAAUUGAAAAUUUUGAAAGUCAGAAGUGAUCAUGGUGGAGAAUUUGAAAAUGAGCCAUUUGAACUUUUUUGUGAAAAACAUGGGAUUCUCCAUGAGUUUUCUUCUCCUAGAACUCCACAACAAAAUGAGGUUGUAGAGAGAAAGAACAGAACCUUACAAGAAAUGGCCAGAACCAUGAUCCAUGAAAACAACUUAGCUAAACAUUUCUGGGCAGAAGCAGUUAAUACUUCAUGUUAUAUUCAAAAUAGGAUCUAUAUCAGACCUAUGUUGGAGAAAACAGCAUAUGAACUCUUUAAAGGAAGAAGACCCAAUAUCUCUUACUUUCAUCAGUUUGGAUGUACUUGUUACAUCUUAAACACUAAAGACUAUCUGAAGAAAUUUGAUGCCAAGGCUCAAAGAGGAAUCUUUUUAGGUUACUCUGAAAGGUCAAAGGCGUACAGAGUGUAUAAUUCAGAAACACAUUGUGUUGAAGAAUCUAUGCACGUAAAAUUUGAUGAUAGAGAGCCUGGAAGUAAAACUCCAGAGCAAAGUGAAAGUAAUGCAGGUACAACUGAUUCUGAAGAUGCAUCAGAAUCUGAUCAACCUUCUGAUUCUGAAAAGUAUACAGAAGUUGAAUCUAGUCCAGAAGCUGAAAUCACUCCAGAAGCUGAGUCUAAUUCAGAAGCAGAACCUAGUCCAAUAGUACAGAAUGAAAGUGCUUCUGAGGAUUUUCAAGAUAACACUCAGCAGGUUAUUCAACCUAAAUUCAAGCACAAAUCUUCACAUCCUGAGGAGCUAAUCAUUGGAAGCAAAGAUAGUCCUAGAAGAACAAGAUCACAUUUCAGACAAGAAGAGUCAUUAAUAGGAUUGCUUUCAAUAAUUGAGCCUAAAACUGUUGAAGAAGCUCUCUCAGAUGAUGGAUGGAUAUUAGCUAUGCAAGAAGAGCUAAAUCAAUUCCAAAGGAAUGAUGUUUGGGAUCUGGUACCCAAACCUUUUCAGAAGAACAUUAUUGGAACAAAAUAGGUAUUCAGAAACAAGCUGAAUGAACAAGGAGAAGUAACCAGAAACAAAGCCAGACUUGUUGCUCAAGGCUACAGUCAACAAGAAGGCAUUGAUUACACUGAAACAUUUGCUCCAGUUGCAAGAUUGGAAGCAAUCAGGUUACUUCUAUCCUACGCAAUUAAUCAUGGCAUAAUAUUAUAUCAAAUGGAUGUCAAAAGUGCUUUUCUUAAUGGUGUCAUUGAAGAAGAAGUGUAUGUUAAACAACCUCCUGGGUUUGAGGAUCUUAAGCAUCCUGACCAUGUUUAUAAACUUAAGAAAUCACUAUAUGGCUUGAAACAAGCUCCCAGAGCUUGGUAUGAUAGACUAAGUAAUUUCUUAAUUAAAAAUGAUUUUGAAAGAGGACAAGUUGACACAACACUCUUCAGAAGGACUCUUAAGAAAGACAUUUUGAUUGUACAAAUAUAUGUUGAUGAUAUAAUAUUUGGUUCUACUAAUGCAUCUCUUUGCAAAGAAUUUUCUAAGUUAAUGCAGGAUGAAUUUGAAAUGAGCAUGAUGGGAGAAUUGAAAUUCUUUCUUGGAAUUCAAAUCAACCAAAGUAAAGAAGGAGUAUAUGUUCAUCAAACAAAAUAUACAAAGGAGCUUCUGAAGAAGUUCAAGCUAGAAGAUUGUAAAGUGAUGAACACUCCAAUGCAUCCAACCUGCACCUUAAGCAAAGAAGAUACUGGAACAGUAGUAGACCAGAAGCUAUACAGAGGUAUGAUUGGUUCUCUGUUAUACCUCACUGCAUCUAGACCUGAUAUUUUAUUCAGUGUAUGCUUGUGUGCAAGAUUUCAAUCAGAUCCUAGAGAAUCUCAUUUAACUGCAGUUAAGAGAAUCUUCAGGUAUCUGAAAGGAACAACUAAUCUUGGACUCCUGUAUAGGAAAUCCCUAGAUUAUAAGUUGAUUGGAUUCUGUGAUGCUGGUGACAGGAUUGAAAGAAAAUCAACCAGUGGAAAUUGUCAAUUCCUGGGAGAGAAUCUGAUAUCUUGGGCAAGCAAAAGACAAGCAACUAUUGCUAUGUCUACAGCAGAAGCAGAAUACAUUUCAGCUGCAAGUUGUUGCACACAACUACUUUGGAUGAAACAUCAGUUGGAAGACUAUCAGAUUAAUGCUAACAGUAUUCCCAUCUAUUGUGAUAAUACUGCUGCUAUUUGUUUGUCAAAGAAUCCAAUUCUACAUUCAAGAGCCAAGCAUAUUGAAAUCAAACACCAUUUUAUCAGAGACUAUGUUCAAAAAGGGAUUUUAGAUAUACAAUUCAUUGAUACUGAACAUCAAUGGGCUGAUAUAUUUACAAAACCUUUAUCUGUUGAAAGAUUUGAUUUUAUUAAGAAAAAUUUGAACAUGCAUUUUGUGUCUGAUUGAAAAAUUGCUUGCCUCUGAAUAAGAAGUUUGGUUCUGAAGUCUAUUCAGAAGCAUCUGGUCCAUCAGAAGCUCUUAAAUGAGGUUCUGAGGAAAACGUGCUUCUGAAGAUGACGUCAGCGCUAAGACUUCAGAAGCGGUAUUCUUUGCUUCUGAAUAGCAAGGUUAGUGGGAACGUUGGCAGUUACUUUUUGUAACAGCUGUCCCAUUACCCAAAAGGUAGUUUUCUGAAGAGUCUCUGACGUGGUCUAUUUGUAUUGGAGUAUAACAAAAAGGGCAAUGAUGUUUUACUUGCUUUUUAACAUACUAACACGCGCCCCCAAUUUGUCAUUAAUGCUAUGUUUGUUUGUCUCUUCUGAAUUACAAACGUUUUACUUAAAAACACUAAGUCAAUUCACACACUACUCACUUCACAACAAACACUUUCUAUUUUCUUCUCAACCCUCUGCGAAAGUAAGCGCAUUCACUCUUCCUCUCAAAACACCGUAGAACCCUAAAACUCAUUCAAAUCAAUGGAAAGCUCAAGUUCUGCUGGUGGUUCAUCAUCAAAUAUGGAAAUAGAUAUUCCAGCCUAUGAGAUUAAAGGAAGAACCAUGUCUAUUGAAGAAUGGGAGUUAAUCAUUCAAGCAGAAAAUCCAGUGGAUUUCGCCUCCUUAACUCACCAUGGAUGCGACCUAGUAAGAUUCUACAAGAAGCAAAAGCUGAUGAACUACUUCAGUCUUCUCAAUGGUCCAACUUAUGAAGUUCUGGUCAGACAAUUCUGGGUAAGGGCUUCAGUCUUUGACAUUGAAGCUGCUAGGCAGGAAGAAGCUCAACUAAUUCUGGUUGAUCCUACUCUAAAGGGAAAAACCAGAGAAGAAAUGGGUCUACUCUCCUUCACCGGCACAGAGAUUAGAUCAAAUGUCAUGGGUAUUCCUGUAACCAUAAAUGAGCAGGUUAUUGCUCAAGCCAUGGGAAGGGAUACCUCUGGCAAAUACUUUGGAGAAGAGAUUCCUAAUCCAAGAACCAGCUCUUGGAAGGAAAUUGUCAAUGAGACCAUUUAUGGGUCUAAGGUUGCUCAACCUUACAGCACUUUGAGCAUUGAGAAGAAGUUGCUGCUGAAGAUUCAGAAUGAAAACAUCUUUCCUAAAGGUGGAGGAAAUGAUCAACCUUCUCUUGGUCACAAGGUUUUUCUACAUCACACCAUCACUCAAGAGACCACAAUGAAUGUUCCUAAGUACAUGUUCAAGUACAUGAUCAAGGAACUAAAGAAGAGUCAGAUGGAAAACAGAAAGUUUGUUCCUUAUGGAAGGCUACUCUCUGUAAUCUUUCAAGAAGGAGGACUUCUAAGUGCCUUGAAGGAUGUUGGCAUCUAUGAUAACCAGAAGCUGGGAGCAGUAACUGGGAAGAUAAUCAAUGCAUCAACACUUGUGAAGAUGAAAUUGAUUCCAGCAAAUGCUCACAAGAAACUAGAUUCUGAUAUGCAUGAAUCUGAUGCAAUAUCUGAUCUAAUCACUCAUCACAUCCCUAUCUGCAAGAAGGAUCCUCUGGAUGUGCAAAGGGCCUACAUCUUGGACUUCUACAAGACUUACAAGAAGAAGAUCAGCUUGAAAGAUGUCCCUGAGGAGAUGUAUGGUGGUGAUCUGCCUGUAGCCAAAGGCAGAAAAUCAAAGAAGAAGCAGAUCACCAAGGAAGAAUAUCUUGCUGAAGAUGCUACUGAGAAGGGUGCUCAGAAGCAUCAGAAAGCUAAGAAGGAAAAAUCUACCUUGUCCACUAUUCAAGAGGAAGUGGAGAACUUAGAUGAAGUUCCAAUCAUCAGAAAAAGGACAAGGAAUGCUCAAGAAACGGCAGAACAGCUUGCUUCUGAACAACCUGCUUCUGAACAAGCUGCAUCUGAAGAGCCUCAGAGUCCUAAGAAGAAAAGAGAAGCUGCUCUUCAAACCAUCAAAAGGAAGAGAUCUUCAAGAAAUUUGAAGACAGCUGAAGGACGAAGGGAGGAAAUGUUGGAAGAGCUUCAAGAAAACUGGGAUGAAGACUCAAGUCCCAAGAAGGCAAAAAGGACUAUAACUUCUGAGACAAUAGUCAUGCCUAGUUUUGAAGCUUCUGAGGAAUUAAAGCAAUAUGCUAGGGAGUAUUCUGCAUCCAAGAUAGCAGAAAGGAAAAGGAUGAAGGAAUUGUAUGAGAAGCAAAGGGAUGAGCGUCUCAAGGCUGCAGGGUAUGUGCCUACUCCUGUCAUUGCUGCUUUAGCAUCUGAGUUAGAGCAAGAAACAGUUAAGUAUGGAGCAACUCUGCUUUCACAAGCCUUGAAGAAUAAGCAAGCUUCAUGAGCCACUUCAUCAGAACCAGUUUCAAAAGCUCCAGAAGCAGUUCAUCCAGAAGCUCAAUCUUCAGGUAAUUCAUCCAAACCUGACAUCUAUACUCAGAUUCCAUCUCUACCCUUUUCACCCUCAUCAUCAUCAACUGAAUCAGAUGACCAACCCCUUAGCCAACACAUAGACAAACUUCUUAGAACCAAACCCACCAAACUAACAGAAUUUGGAACACUUGAUUAUGAGCAAACUCAAAUAGAAUUUUCUAAGAAUAGGAUUAAACUUUGUGAGAAAUUCAAUUUGCCUACUACUCAUCCACUCUAUCCAGAAAUUCCAGAACCUGUUAGUGUACAACAACCUCAACCCAACCAAGAACCUAACCAAACAAACCCACAAAAUGACCAAACUCCACAAAGAGCCUCUGAAGUAGUUUCAGAAGCAACUACUUCAGAAAUCCCCCAACAACAAGAAUCCUCAACCCUUCAUAAUUUAGAAAAACACUUAGGUGGUGAAAUGCAACCUACACCCACAAAGGCCUCUAAGACAGUCCCUGGAAUGACCGUGUUAGAAAACCAACAAACAGAAACCAUCCCUGAGCAAACUGUUCCUGAACAAACUGUUCCUGAACAAGCUGCUUCUGAACAAGUUGCUUCUGAACAAGUUGCUCCUGACCAUCAAACAACAGAACAACAACAACCAAAACCACCAAUCAUUGACCUAACCUCUUCUGACCAACAAACAGCCUCUGACCAACCCUCCGCAUCUCAUACAACUCAAUCUGAACCUUCAACCAUCCCUGACUCUAUCCUUGAAUCUGAGUAUAUAGAUGAACAGCUAAUCAGGCUUAGUGAUGAGAUUCAGACACUGAUUCUUCGCAGAACAGUUCCUGUACCUCCUAUUCACUAUCUUGAUCAAUGGAUGGAUCUAAAAAAGAGUUUUGAUGACCUGCUGGAUCAGCUAAGCUCUAAGUGUGUCUCAUCUCACUCUGCCAUGCUGCAAAAGAUGUUGGAUGAUAUGCAUGAAGCAGCUAGAGUGAAAGAGCUGAAUUACGUGCCUCUGCUGGACAUCACUCCUUUCUAUCCAGAAGAAGAGUACAUCACAAGGGCUGCAAGAAUUCAUGCUGGGUAUAAAAGAAGAAUGAGAGAAAAGGAUGAGCUACUUAAGCAGAAGGAUGAACAAAUUAAGUAUCUCUUGGAACAGAUGUACAAGCAAGCCCAACCUUAGUUGCACACCAAUUUUUUUUGCUUGCUUUAAUCUUUGUUCUAAGUACUUUAGUUGCACUGCUUUUGUAUCUUAAUUUCUCUAUAUAUAUAUAUUAUCCUUGUUUCUGGAUCUUGUGCUUUUUCACCUUCAAUAUAUUUUUACAAGCUUUAACUCUGAUAAUAUUUACUGUUUUUAAUGCUGCUUGCUCUGAUAUACUAUUUUUUAAAGGUUAUAUGUUUAUUCUUUUGUUUUAUUUGCUCUGAUACUCUUUCUUUUGUUUUUAUUCUUUUUGUUGAUGACAAAAGGGGGAGUAAAUGUAUAGCAUUUUAAGGCACUGAGCCCCACUAUAACCACUCCUAAACUUUUUUAAAUACUUAUGAUAUUAUUUUUAUGAGUAUUUUAUUGAAAUUUAAUUAAUAAGAAUAGAACUCAGGGGGAGCUUACAAACCUCACCUUAAAGAUCUAUUAGACUCAGGGGGAGUUUACAAACCUCUAUCCCAGUGGUCAACUUAUUAAUUAGAUCAACAACAAUUGAACAUUUUAAAUACUAUUGUUUGUCAUCAUCAAAAAGGGGGAGAUUGUUGGAACAAAAUGUGUUUCACAAUGAACCUUAUUAAGUUUUGAUGAUAACAAGGUAUUAAAAAUUGUCAAUUGGUUAUUACUAAUAAUUGUUCAAGUGUACAGGACCAAAAGGCUACUCAAGUUAUUUCAAUAGGUCUUGGAAGAACAAUGGAAAGAAAAAAGAAAUUCUGAGCAUCUGAAGAAAACUGCUCCUGAAGCUGAAGUGCUUCUGAAGUGAUGACGUCAUCAGAAGCAGAAAGUCAUCAGAAGCAAAAGUUUUCAUCAGAAGCAAUAUCUUCACCAGAAGCUACGUUUGAUCCUUUAAUCAAACUGAAGAUUCAAAGUAGCUGAUUCUCAAUUCAGUCUUAUCCAAGAAGAACGAAGAAUUGAAAGGGAGGUAUCAACGGAUAUAUGGAUAGCACUGAGCACUUGUCUCUCGUUAAUAGAGUUGACAAAGUACAAGUGUACAACCACUACCUCCACUACUCUGUUUUCUGUCUACGCUACAAGACAAAACAACAGCCAUGCCUGCAGAAUUUGUACGUUCAAGAUGGGAAUGAAUUUGAAGCUUAUUCUUCAAAGGACUACACCCAAAUCAGGCAAAGGAUCACUGGUGGAUAAUCAAAGGAUUUCAAACGACUCUUUAGACGUGCUGAUUAUCUCAACGUCUCUUUCACGCCUCUAUAUAAAGGAGUGAAGACUUGAAGAUUAUACAUAGAGAUACAUAAAUUCAAAAGCGCCAAAACUCUGUCAAUUUGAUUCUACAAAGCACACUGAAUUUCUGCACUGAUUUGAUACAUCUUAGAAAUUCAAAGUCUAGAGUCUUUACUGUAUUGUAUUGUGAACACCACUGAUUGUAUAUCAAGUGUUCAACUCAAACUCAAUUCUCUGUAUUUUUGUUUGAUUAGAAGUCUCUUGCCUGCGUGCUUGAGCAUUAGAAGUCUCUUGCUUAGUGCUUGAGCAUUGGAAGACUCUUGCGUGUGUGCUUGAGCAUUUUUGUGAAGUCUCAUACUUAGAAAGUAUUGAGCAGUUGUAAUCUUUGUGAUUAUAGUGAAAUCUCCUUGGAAGUGCAAGGGGGACUGGACUACUUCCGUGUUGUGGAAGGAACCAGGAUAACUGCUUGUGUCUUUGUCUUUCUUUUCUCUGCUCUGUUCUUUUCUGCUGCAAUCUGACUCUGAUCAUUUCAUCAGAAGCAAUCAAACUGCUUCUGAAGUUUUAUCAGAAGAAGUAUUUUUUAAGAGAAAAAGAAAACACAAUUCAACCCCCCCCCCCCCCCCCCCCCCCCUCUUGUGUUUUUCACCUUCAAAUAGAUGAUUAUAGGAUCUAAUAAUAUUAAGGGUCUAGAUGGUAGGAUCAAGAAGACAAAGGUACGAGACUUCAUUGCAUAUAACCAUCUUGAUUUUCGUUGUGAUACAUGAAACUAAGUUAGAUCAAAUUUCAUAUGCUCUAAUUUAUUUACCUUUGAUAGAAUUCUUUUUGUGAUUGGAGUUUCACUCCGUCGGUUGACAUAAUGUUGGGAUUAUGUCUAUUUGAUGUAAAACCAACUUGACUUUAGUCUUCUCUUUUUGGAGCCCCGACUAUAUGGGGAUGUGCCUAGAUUAGGGGAGAAAAGGGUAAUGUGGGAUCAUAUGAUGAGUACUUUUAAUGCUUUGGGGGUAUUUGGUUGGUGUGUCUUUGGUGAUUUUAACUCAGUCUAGGAGGAGUGCGAGCAGAGGGUCGUUCUUCAUAUCUUAGGAGUGGGGACACGAUUUAGAUCACGGUCACGGAGUUUGCUAAUUUUGUUUCCCAAAUCGGUCUCUUUGAUCUACCCCUCCUUUGAAGGCAAUUUUUGGGGUUCCAACCUCAUGGAACCGCAAUGAGUUGCUUGGAUUGUAUUCUGAUAUUUGUUAAAGUCAUUGCUUUUGAAAAUAAUUCUGAACUAGUUUCUUGAUCAGCUCAUAUUGGCUUUGCAGUGCUUGAAGCUUCACCUUCUUUGACUUGUCAUGACCACCUUAUGCUUUAUUAAGAGUAUCCCAAACACCUUUUGUGGUUUCUUGAUAAACUAUCUUUUCAAAGAUAUUGGGAUCAACACUUGAAUGAAUUAGGAACAAGCCUUUUCCAUCCGUCUUCUUUUGCUCUCAAUUGGCAGAUCUUUGUGCAUCACCAGCAUUAUCUGGCAAAUCUAGAACACAUCUUGAAAUCAUUCACAUUCACGAUUUCAAACACAUCUUGAAAUCUGAAUAUGACUUUCAUUUUAGGACACCACUUGUCACAUUUCUGACCUUUGAAGAUGGGAAGAUUUGCAGGAAAAAUGUCCAUUGUUUGUGGAAUUCGCCAUUGUUGAAAAUUAAAAUUGUUGUAUCCAAGAUCGAAUCAAUUGUUACACCAGUUUGUUGGAACACUUGAUGGUUUUGAAGAAGGGGAAAUGUGGUAAAAGGAGAAAAUGUGUGCUAUGUGAAAGAAUCAAAAGUUUUUAUUUAUUAACAAUUGUACAAUUAACAUCCGUUGAGAUUACUUAUAUCCGAAAUAGCUCAACUAACUCUAAAACAAACUAGUUGCUUGGCUAACACGUUACAGACUCAACUAACUAUAUCUAAUGGUUAAUUGUCCAACAUUGAAUUACAUCACAAAAGUUAGCACAUGUUAUUUGAAAGGACAAAACUUAUGCACAGUUUCAUACCUGCUGUUUUUGCUAUUUUCAAAUCAAAACGUGACAUCUGUACAACUUAUCCACGUCAGCUAACGUAGUGAAAACGGCGUGAAGUUCUUAACGUUUCCAGCAAAUCCCUUUUUUAGGAGCACUACACAACCACCGUCCCCAUGCGCUAACAACAUAAACUGGCAAGGAGAGAAUCUAAAAGAGCAAGGUAAAGAAUUGAUGGAGAUGCACAUAAAGAGUAAGAGGAAUGGGUUGGAAUUUUGAUUGAAGAUGUUAAAUACAUUGAUUUUAUGUAUUUAUCUCUAUUUUUCUCAAUAAAGAAAUAGCUUGAGGCAUCAACUUUAAUCUAUGUGACAAUAGACAAAAUCCAAACUUGGUUUGGAAUGUUGUACAAUCAAACAAAAUUGUUACUCUUAAUCAAUCUCCAACUUAAUAGUCUCCACUGUUUAUAUAGUGGUUUGUUCCUAUGAGUUAAUGAAUCGCAGACUCAAUUACAACCACAAUACAAUUUCUCACCAACAAGUGAUAACCAACAUCGAUUAUUGGAAAGAUGAAAGAAGGCAUUAAAAUGAAUUUGACCAAAUUGUAUUAGAAGGAUCGUAUGCUUUUGACUAUGGAUUAUGUGUGGUGCUCGUCAAAAACGAGUUGCGAUUGAUUAUAGGGAAACAAUAAAAAUUUCACACCGUUUCACUUCUUCAGGUGACGUGGAUAAAUUGUACAGAUGUCAUGUUUUAAUUUGAAAACAGCAAAAACUGUAGGUAUGGAACUGUGCAUAAGUUUUGUCCUAUUUGAAAUAAUUCAAAAUCCCAUUAUUGAUGAAAUUAGAGUUAAAUAUGUUUUUGGUCCCUAUAAAUGUACCAACUUUUCGUUUUAGUCCCUCUAAAAUUUUCCUUCAACUUUUAGUCCCUAUAAAAUUUUCAAUCACUACUUUCGGUCCCUAUUUUUAAGUUAAUUUUAGUUUUUUUUUUUUAAUGAAAUUAUGCAUAAAUGUGUAGAAUAUUGUAAAAAUAUUUCCCAAAAAAAUUUAGAAUUUUUUAACAAAACAUAAAUUUAAUAUGAAUUUUUAACCAUAAAAUAUAUAAAAUUCAUAUUAAAUUCAUGUUUUGUUAAAAAAAUUUAAAUUUUUUUGGGAGAGCUUCUUAUAAUAUUAUGAAUUUUUCUUGCAAAAUUUUAUUAAAAAAUAUGAAUUCUACAUAUGAGUUUACUUUAAAGGAGGGACCAAAAAUGAAGAUGGAAAAUUUUAGAGGGACUAAAAGUUGAAGGAAAAUUUUAGAGGGACUAAAACGAAAAGUUGGUAUAUUUAUAGGGACCAAGAUCAUAUUUAACCCAUGAAAUUAAUACCAAAAUAAAAUUCUACUACGAUUUUUAAGUUUGGAUAUUUUUGAAGCUCUUCAAAAUUGUUGCAAUUGGAAGGUUUAAAUCUUUUAUGGCUUCCAUGGCAUGGAUUGCACCAUGGUAGUCAAAAUCACGAUCCAACUCGUGGGAUCGUACGAUUUUGCAAUCUUGUUACCCCUUGACGUGCUUGAGUGUGGCCGGAAUCAGAAUAUGGUGGGUGUAACAGCCUGAUUUUCACUAGAUUUAUUUUAAUUGUUUUAAUAUGUGUUUUUAUAUGCUUUUAUGUGAUUAAUUGCCUCUGUGUGUAUUUUUGAUUGGGAUUAUUAGAAUUUGGUAUACGAAGGGUAUUUUGGUCAUUUUGUGAGUAAGGGUAAAUUAGUAAUUUUUGGUGGAGAAUAUUUUUGUUACUAUUUAGUAAGAACCAUUAUUUUACUAAGUUACUAGUGUGGUAAAUAGUUGUGAGCCGGUAAGUGACCGUUGUUAGUAUUUUACCGUUAAGUGUGUAGAAACAUUUUAGAAUUGUGAUUGAGUGGAUUAAGUCCACUAAGGCAUUAGGGUUAAACUCAUUUGAGAAUAGCCUAUAUAAACCUUUUCUUAAGAGAAAAUAGCAUUCAUUUUUCAUUUCAUAAGAUUUUUAGAGAGAGGUAGAGAGAGAAAGUGCGAGAGAAGAGGAAAAGGGUUAGAAGAAAGGAGUCUUGAAGACCUAAGAGGUGGUGGAGAUUCUAGGAGCUAAAUUGAAGCUUGUGUUAGGAUUUUUGCUAACUAAGGUAAGAGGGUUAGAAUUCAACCAUAAUCAAUUAGUUGUAAUUUUUCAUUAAAUGCUUAAUUGGAUAAGUGAUUAUUUGUUCAUAGUUAUUGAAAUUUGUUAUACCCUGUUUUUGGACCUAAAAAUACUGGGCCCAAUUUCAUUUCAAACUUUGUCAAUUAUUAAAUUUCAACUGCACAGUUCAAAUUGUCUCUGCCUCGCAGUAUUUUCAACCACAAUUUCAUCUAUGUUUUUCUUGCAUAAAACCUUUUGAAAUGUCUUUACUUGUCUUAUAAGUCAUUCAAAAGUGUCUAUGGAUCAUUACAUUACUUUUACCACAGUUUAUUUCAAAAUUUGCAAAAAGUCAUACAGAAGGGUACUUUGGUCAUUUCUUGCAGUGGGACCCAUUUUCAUCCUUGUGACUGUCUCUGAGUCUUUUCAGAUUGUUUUUUUACAUUUCAUCAGUAAACCUUGUUAAAUUCAUUUCAAACUUGCAUCUGAGUCAGUGUCAAGUCAAUUUGAAUCUGUUUAGGCCCUAGGGGCAUUUUGGUCAUUUCACACAAAAUUUUGGCAUAGAGAGGUUACUUUGAAGUACCUCAUUUGGGCCAUUGGUUCGUUUUAGUCCGUUUUGUCAAUUUUAUUUUAGUUUCACUUUACGUUUUGUCAGGUUACCAAUUUUAUUCCAAUUUUAUUUUUUUUAUUUUACAUUUUGGUCCCCAAAGAGGUCCAAAAUUGCGUAUCAGUCCAGAACUUUCUUUUUUUUACAUUUCAGUCCUUUUUGGGUUAUUUGCAGUUUAGUCCUUAAAGUUUUUGUUUUUGCAGAAAAGUCCAAAGUUCAUUUCAGGACCAAGGCCGUGCCACUUUGAUACAAGUCCAGAUGUCACAAUUCCAUUGGCUCAAGUGUACACAUGUCAGCUAUAAAUACAUUGAGUCAGAAUCAGAAGCAAUAAUUACACGCCACAUCACAAACAGAAACCACAAUCUCUCUCCUUUCAGUUACAGAUCAAAAUCAUCAAGUUCAUCAAGAACACAAGAACCCUAAAAAUUUCCAGAACCAAAAAUUCAUACACAAAUUCAUUGAUUUUCACAUCAAUCCUCAGAGAUUCGUGUGAAUCUUCAUCACUGGAUUGAAGAAUUCUCCUACAAUUCAAAGUGCGAGCUCACAUUGAAGCAAGCUCAAGCACUGAUCAUAGGGAUCUCCUUUUUUCACGCAGAAUCUAAGAAGCAUUGAAGCAAGCUCAAGCACGUAAUCACUGAGAGAGAAGCAGAGAAAGAAUCGGAGAAGAUGAAGAAACAGAACCGGUAAACCGAUUUAUUUUCGGUCCAAAAAGCAAGCAGAAGAGUCAAAAAUCAUCAAGAACAUUCAAGUUUUUCCAAAUAUUUUCCUCCAUUAAAAGUUUCAACCAAAACUUCAGGUAAAACUCAUUUCCUCUCUCAGAAAGUGUUAAUCACAGUUAAACCUGUAAAAUCACGCGAGCAAGCAUAUCAAAAAAAUUUCCAGAAUUCAAAGAAAACCGUAACCGUAAGCACGAAACCUAGAUCCAUAAGGAUCUAAGUUUUGAAAGCAAGAACGAGUACCAGAAAAGUAAUCCAACGACGAAACGAUGUAGAUCUUUAAAGAUCUAAACGUUUUUGUUCAAAAAUCAAAAAUCAUUUCAAAACCGUAUAAAGUAUUUUCAAGAUCUACGUUGUUCCAAGCUGUAUUUGAAAAAAUAAUUGCUGGAUUCGUGUUUAGGGAUAAAGGACGAAUCAAAAGAAGUAAGAAUCUUUGAAAUCUGGAAAUUUAGGUCACCGGAAACUGCAUGAACUCGCCGGAGAAGAUGAAGUUUCCGGCGGACCUUCAAGGUCUCCGCCGUAGCUUCAUCCUCGCCGGCGGCGAGGUUAGAGAGAGGUGAGAGAUGAGAGAAGAGAGAAGAGUUAGAGAGAGAAAGGAUUUUAAAAAAUGAAAUAAACCGGUGCUCUUCUGUUUUUAUAAGCCAGCGAACCGGACCGGUCCAGUCCGGUCCAUUCUCCUUUGAUUCCUGGCCGUUUGAUCUAGGGUUUCAGAAUCCUGGAUCAAUCGUGUGGUUCCUGUGCAUCCGGAUCUUUUAGGUUUGGGCUUGGGCUUGUUUCUUUUGGUUUUCUGCGUUUUUUUGCUUUUUUGUGCUAUUUACACUACCUUUUUUUGCUAUUUGCACCUGUUACUUGCCUACUUUUUUUAUAAAAAAUUCCUAAAAAAUCCUAGUUGUUUCUUAAUGUAUUUUUGGUAUUUCUAUGGUAUUUUUGCAUGUAAAAAAAAUGGUAAAAUGGCAUGAACUAAUUUCCAUGUAUUUUUACACUUUUGGUAUACUUUUUGCUAUGUUUUUGUUCUUGAUACUUUGAUAUGUGUUAUGAAUAAAUGAUACCCUAUCUUGUGAUGAAUAUGCCUCUGGACAUGUGCUUCUUUUUGCUGUUUUUGAAUAUGAUUUUAUGGAUUUCUUGUUUUACAAGCAACAAGUGUUUGUUUUAAAGAAUAAAGUGUCAAAUUUCUCUAUGAAUUUGGUGUGAUACUUUGCUUGCAUGUGUCUCCAUUAAUUUCAUGUCAUGGCUUGAAACAAAAUCUCUUUCAAAGUUGCUAUGAUGUGAUGAUUAUGGGUUACAAGUACCUUUAAGUAUCAUAUCAAAUUUUUUAGGUUUAUUACCACUUUAUAACUUUCUUUUGCUUUUCCUAUGCAAUUUCUUUUUGUUUAUUUCCUACUAUUUUGUGCUUUGUGAUUACUAACCAUUUCAUCUCAUGUGUCAUAUAUUUCAUAGCAUUCCACCACCCCCUUCACUUUCUUUAGCCUAGCAUUUAUUUUUGCAAGUUUUAAUUCAUUUUGGGGUGUAAUUUGUUAUCAUUGGUUUGUAGCUUGGCAAAGGGGCCAUAGAAUGUAUUUAGGCAAUUUUUGUAAUAUGUACUAUGGACACUAUGACGCACCGGCACGCACACACUCACCCUAGAUGUAUGCCUAAGAUUGUAUGUGUAGAUGUAUGGCUAGGAUUGCAUGUUUAGAUGAAUGCUUAGGUUUAAACACUUAGAGAAAAAUCCAACUUUUUCCAAAACAUGCAAAUAACCUCACUUGAAAACCUUUUUGAAAAUAAAAUAGGAGUCAAAACUCCUUAUUUCCCUUUUAUUUUCCUAAGUAAAAUUUCUAAUAAAUCUUAACUAUACUUGGACUUCAUUUUGAAAAAGUUAAUUCCACCUCACUUUUUUCCAAUCUCAUGCCCUCGAGGCCUCUCAUCUCUAUUCUUCAAAAUCUCUUUUCAAACUUAAAAUCAACCAACAAAAACAAAAACCAUUUUUGAGAAUGAACUACAAAUGGUUUUGAUCCCUAAAAAGGGUACGUAGGCAAUGAGUCAAAACUCCUCCAAGCCGAAAUAAAAUCAAAUUCUACUUCUUCUCACCCCCAUUCUUAACUAAUCACACCUUCAUUUUUUACAAAUAAGCAAUAAAACUAAAGCGUAGAAAUAAACUUAGGAGAGCGGUUCUUAUGGAAUACCAUAAUCGCUCCGGGUGCCUAACACCUUCCCGUAGCGAAAACGACCCCCGAAUCUAGAACUUUUUAAGGGUUUUUCUCCUUUUACCCUUCCCAAGAAAAAAGAGAGAUAUCAACGGUCGAAAGGUUCAAGUCCAAUUAAUGGCUUGGCACCCCAAAACCAUGAUAACAAAAUUCGUGCUCUAAUUAUGGUGAUAUGUUUGAAUACAUGAAAUUGGUGAUAAUUGAAUUGUUGUUGGUGAAAUUACAUGUUCAUAGUAUGUGAAAAUGAUAUAUUGUGAAUUGUGCUCUAAAUGUUGAAUUGUGCUAUGUUGUUGUCGAAUUAUGAUGUGGAUCAUGUUUAAUUGAUGUUGUUGUUGCUAAGAAAUAUUGUUGUUGAUGAUUCAUGGCUUGGGUGUUCAUAAAUCAUGAUUUGAUGAUGAGAAUUAAGUUGUUGUUGUUGGUUUUGUAAAAAUGGGUUGAUUUAUUGAAUUAUGUUCAAAUGUCAAUUGUUUUCAUGUUUAAUGUGUUCUUGGGAACCCUUUUAGUUGUUUUGACCUAUAAACAAACUUUGGAAACAUAUUUGGGCAUUGGGAGAUCAAAAUUGGAAAUUUUGUGUGAAAAAGGGUUCAAACCCGUAAUUUUUUUCUGCAGAACUAUGACUGUUCGCUUAAGCGAACAAUCACAGUAGGUUUUAUGACUGGGUCGCUUAAGCGAACCGGAAGCAAACAACAAGCGAACUUUUGUUGUAGCUUCUGGAACUUGUUCGCUUAAGCAAACUUGCAUAGUUUUAGCAACCUUUGAUUUUUCGUUCCGGGCUUUAAGGGGCCAAUCCGAGCUUUGUAAAAUGCUUCUUUCAACUAGUUUAACCACUAUUUGAACUUUUAAAUCUACUGGAACAUGUGUUUACUCAUUUGAAUUUUGGAUUUUCCAUUUUGGUUUGAAACUUGAAUUUUUGGUGAUUUGAUGAUUUCGGACUUUUGUCGAAAUGAACUUUUGUGAACUAACUGAGAUUACAAGUUUGGUCUACAGUUCAUAUAGACUUAGGCAAGACUUGUAAAGUUGGUUAAAUGUCUUAAUCAUGUCAAACUUGAUAUUUCGGGUGGGAAUGUGGAAAAUGUGAACUUGGGUUUUCUCAUACGAACUUAAGUUAUACUUUGAACUAAUAUCUAAUAGUUUGUAAGUGGCUUAAGCUUAUGACUACAUGAUUGAUUAAGAUUGAUUUGUGAGUUUUCAAACUUAAAUAAGUUAUCUUAUUUUGAAAAUUAUCAAUGUUGAUCGUUUGCCACUUGAUACGGAUUUUGCCGAAAAUGAUUCUUUAAGGCCAAUUACUUUACAUUCCUUUGUGAUUAGUUGUAUAUGUUUGAAUGUAGAUAUGUGAGUAAUGGUAAUUGUUAGAGGUGAUAUUUAACACAAGGUGUUGUAUUUUCCAUUUUACUUGGAUGGUGAUAAAUUGUGCAAAGUUGAUGAAUUAUAGAAUAUAGUUGAAGUUGAUUAUUGAAUAUAUGUUGAUGAAUUGUGAUAUUUGGUGAUGACUCUUAAUUGAAUAAUGACAUGUUGAUUGUGUGGAUGUAAAUGUUUUAUAAUGCAAUUGUUGUUGAAGUUGAACGAUGUAAUUGGAGGUGUACUUUUAUAUUGUGUUGGCAUAUGUAUAUGUUUAGUAGUUUGCAUUAUUGAGUCUUUGCUUAUGUCCAUGCAUCAUCGUCAUAUCGAGUCAUAUGAGAAAUGUAAAAGGAGGUCAUGUACUUUUACAUAGUUGUGCGUAAGAGGAGGCCGUGUACUCUUACAUAAGAUGUGCGGUUGGCAUCUUGUUGUUGUUGUUUGGUACCACAUGCAUGUAUGUGUCGGAAUUAGGCGCAUAGCAUAUUGACAUGAGUCGUAAUUUUUGCAUGUGAAUGAUAAUUGUUGAAGAUUGUGAAUGAUAAUUGUUGAUGAUAAGUGUGCUUGGUGAGUACUUGAUCGUGAUAUUUGGGAUUGUUUUGUGAAUGUGUAUAUUGAAUUAGCUGUUUAUAUGAAGUACUCGAAAUUUGAUUUAAUUCAUAUAUGCUCAAAUUUAUUUUAUUGAUUAUGAUUGAUGUAAAGCUUACCCCCAGUGGUUUUGACCGCCUACCUGUCUGUAUGGAUGGGUAGACGAAGUGCAGGGUUAGUUGCUUUGGUGAGUUGCUUGCUGGUUGCUUGGAUAGCGGGAGCUAUCUCCGUUAUCGUGUCUGUAGAGUCUAGGAUAGGCUCUGAUAUAUGUGUCUGUUUAUGAUUAUUCUAGAUUAUCUGUUGUGGACAUAUUAUGUUUUGGAGAUUUACCCAAUUGUCGGGAUUUUGGAGAAUUUUGAUGAUGAUGUAUUUUGAUAUCAUUACAUGUAUACUUCUGCGGUGUAUGGUUUAUAUUCGCUGCGACUGUUGAGGAUUUUUAUACAUGCAUGUUGUUUUGGAUUUGGUUGAUGACGCGACGUCUAUUUCUUGAAUAUUUGUAUUAUUCGCAUGUUUUAUCGCUUUAAUAGAAAUAGGGCGUUACAGUGGGCGCGGCCAGGAUCGCCGCGGAAAACCGUAGAUACGGCAGAAUCGUGCGAUUCACUGAUUCUGGUUGUCUUCCUUGAAUUUCCGGUUUGCAGGUCGGACCCGCGACCCGGUUUCAUCAAAACGUGUUUUGUGGUUUUUUUUUUUGUACAAGUUUUUUCAUUUCUUAUUCCCUGAAACGGUUCGUUUCAUUAAACCCAUUAAUUAUUUAGUCAAAAUAAUAACUGUUGUGAAAGUGACUCAAAAUUGGAGAAAUUGAAGUUUGCUGAAGCUGUCAAAAUCGGAGCACAACUUUUGGAGUAGAAUUGACACUUUCAUUCGUAAAAAAUCGGAGCACGAUCUGGCAAAAUUGGAGCACGAUUUCGCGCAGAAGAAUAAAAAUAAAACGUAUUUUUAUGGGCCUGAUUUGGUUCCAAUUUAUGAGGGAUGAUUUUACUAUAAAUAUAGACAUUGUAUCAGUGUAAAUCUUGAGAUAGAGCGGGCUGAAACAAGGAUUUAGAAAGGCAACAACAAAACUAGGGUUUGUAUAGAGUUUGUCUCUUGGCAACAAACACUAGGGGUGUGUUUGUUUCAAGUUAUAAUUGUUGAUUCCCGAGAAUAAAAUGAUAGGAAUGUAUAUGCCUAUGUUUGUUACAAGUUUACUAAAUUUUAUUCCCGGGUAUAAAAUGUUCCUUGGAAUAGAAAAAAUUUCCCAAUGAAAAUGGUGGGAAUAAAGUUCCCAUGGAGAUGGGAAUAAAUUCAUAAAUAAUUUUCCUAUUAUAAUCCCUAUUUUUAUGGUUCCUAGGAAUAUUAUAAAGCUAACCAAACAUAUUUUUCUUAAAUUCCUUGGAAUAAAAUUCCUAUCUUUAUAUUUCAAGGAAUGUUAUUCCUAGGAAUAAAUUUGAUAAACUUGAAACAAACACACCCUAGGGUUUGAGGGUUGAUUCACCUUGGGAAACACUAUUAGUGUUGAGUCUCUUGGUUACGGGAAGAGAUUGGGAUUUGGGUAGAAUUAGGCGGGAGACUUAUUCUUGUAACCCAUUGAUAUCUCUUUUGUAAAGCUACUCAUCAUUACAGUGAACGGAGGGCUGCUGUCUCCCCCCGAUUAGGUCAAUUUGGACCGAACUGGGUCAACAAAUUCUUUUGUGUUCUCUCUUCUUUCUCUCUCGCUGUUUUUUAUUUUUGACUUGUGUUUAUAAUUGUUCCAUACACUUUAUUUUGGUUGCUUGAUUAUUACUCCACACAUCAAAUUUGUUAUUAGUGUGAUUUUCAUCGAAUUCGCAACAAUAACUCAAUUUAUUGUUGAAAAUCAUUCCAAUAAACCCACUAAGCAAUAAUUGUGGAAACUUAUCAAUACACCCAUAAUUUGAGGAAACUUACCAAUGCAAUUCACCCAGAUUCAUAGCACUACUCCCUCUCUCACGUUAUUUAAAUAACCUUUUAAUACUUUGUUUUACCAAAACAAUUAAUCUGUUUUUCCUCUUCUUUUAUCUUUCAAUAAUGUGAUUUUAAACAUACAUGCAAAUAAACACAAUAAUAUUAAUGAUAAAAGAAAAUACUUUGUUAUAUUAAAUUUUAAUUAACAAGUAUACAAUUUGUUUGUUUAUUGAUCAAGUAAUUACAGUGUUUUUUUUUUACUUAUAUAUAAUAUGUUUUUCAUUUUUUAUGCUUCUACAUGAGUUUGUAUGCAUAUAUAUGUCAAUAUGUGAAUUUGGUAGAAUCUUACGAUCCGUGUUACGAUCUCCUGAUUCACGAUCUUGUGAACCCUCUCCGAUCUUGUAUAAGAUCUCAAUUUUGACUACCUUAGAUUGCACCCAUCAUUGGUGGUUUGUAGCCGGGGUCUCAGAUACCUGGAAUGAGAUUCUGUAUCCGUCAAUCAUGAGUUGGAAUUAAUUGAUCACAAUUCAGCAAUGGUUUACGUGGAUGUUACAUUUUGCAUAGUCUACGAGAGAAUUUUACUACCAAUAAUUACACAAAAAUUACUUUCAUCAAAACAUAUGACUACACAAAAGGAGAUGUUAUUUGAAAUAAUUCAAAAUCCCAUUUUUGAUGAAAUUAUAACCAAAAUAAAAUUCUACCUCGAUUAAGUUUAGAUAUUUUUGUAGCUUUUCAAAAUUAUAUGGGAAAUGUUAACUAGUGUCCCGUGGCAACUGGUUAAGGAAGCAAAUAUAGUAAUCUGGCACCAAUUACUUUUGUAGCUUAAAACUCUUUUUUUUUUAUUUCCUUAACUAAUGUCCUAGGAGAACGGUUAGCAUGACCUCGGGGGCACCAAUUAAUGCCCUAGGAGAACCGUUUUGAGAGUUUAUGAAAACAUCUUAUGACAUGUCUUGAAGUUUUCAACUUAUUGAUUAACUCUAAAGGAUAGCUUAUGACAAUAGUUUAACUUUAUUUUAUCUUUUGUUAAAGAAAUAGCAAGCAUUUGUAUGAAAAUUUAUGCAAUAAGUGCACUUAAUUAUUCUUCCAAACAAAACCUCAUUAACGAAAGAGAGACUUUGAAUAUCAAACUUUGAUCAAAAAAUUUGUUUUCUAAGUGCCUGAAAAGAAAGACAGAAUAGUGUUACUUGGCUAUCACUGAACCUCAUUUUCUCUACUAUCUUUCUCUCAAUAAAUGUCAUCAUUCAACUUCUAACAGAAAAUUACAUAUUAAUUAUGUUAUAAUCAUUACCAUAUAAAAAACUUGUGAAAGAAAUAAACAAUUAUAUCCAAAUACUCGUGAAAGAAAUAAACAAUUAUAUCCAAAUACUCGUGAAUAGGCAUGACUAUCUAUAACUGUAACCUGAACCAAAUUGUGUUCAAUCAAUGGAAUGUGAAAAGGUGGUUCAAAUUAUUGAUCUCCGUUGUGCCGAACCAGACCAAUGUAUAAAUCUUCUACAAACUUCAAAGAAAAGUCAGGGAGGUCCACACCAUCGGAAAAUUACAGGAAUUCAUGAAAAGAAAGAUGUAUUGGACCAAAUGAGCUAUCAUUUGACAACUAAAGCAGGGAAAUUGCAUUUUCCUUUACAGAUUAAUCCAACCGAAGUUGCAAACUCAAAGAUGUCAAUUUCGAAAACUUGUCUGUGGAAACAGAAUAUGCUGUUGUAAUUACUUCUGUUCUUCAGCUGCAUUCUCUCCUCGCCGCUGAUGAUGAAAUGGCUGGGAGAAUCUCACCAGCAGGACCAGCAUUUAUCAAUCUGCAGAGAGCAGUACACAUAGGUCAGAGGGAUUUCGUAAAGUGUCUCGAGAGAUAUAUGAUCAAUGCAUAUAUCUUGAGUUGUUUUAUCCAAAGUUAGCAAACAAGACGGGAAGAUGGAUGGGGUUUGUACUGUCAUAUUUCUUUCUUUUCCAAGUUUUAAUUUUUUCUGUAUAGAUUUUAUAUUUUUGUUCUCUACAUUUACUAAGUGUUACAAAGAAGGAAAACAACAUAUCCAUCUUUGUUGAAAUAUGAAAAUAAAUCUUUAAGCUGCUCUCAGAAGUAUAUUGCAUGCUGGUUGAAGGUGUAUAGAAGGAGUACUAAUACUUGCUAUUUAAUAUUGAAUAUAUUCUCCAUACUGAUUUCUGUUAAAAAAAAUAUAUCUAAUUGCUAUCAAGACUUUUUUGUUUACACAUGCAUAUCAGAUGUAGCAGCGUCAUUGUUAGAAUUCUCUGGUUGCUUUAAAAAACUUAUGUUGCUUGCCUAUUUACUGUCAUACCUUCAAACAUAAAGGCUCUCAAUUCCGCAAAAACGUCACUGUUUUCAGAAGACAUCGUCAUUCAGAUAUACUUAUACGAAUCGUGUCUCUUCUAAAAGGUUCAUAUAGGCAUGCUUUGAAAAACUAAUUCACCUAUGAACAACGAAAAAUAUGAAAGUUUAUCUAAUAAAAAUAGGACUUCAACAAUUAAAAUACUUUUAUAUCAAUAGGUAGAAUAAGUAAAAUUUGAAAAUAAAGAAUCCCAUCAGAUGGUUUUAAAUAAUUUGUGCUAAUAAUUAAUGAAGCACUUAAAUUAGAGGCUCAAGAAGCUGUAUGUUAUGCAAAACCUAUGAUGAUGAUAAUCUGUUUGGCAUAUAACAUGAAUAUAGCAGAGAAAAGUGAGAAAAUUCUUGCAGCCAGCCAAUGUUUCUGUAUAUUUUAUUUUUAAUAUGCCGGUGCUGAAUAAUAACAGCCACGAGAAAUUUGAUUAAAUCAUGGUUCAACUAUGAUUAGAAAAUACCAAAUUUCACUGAUAACAAAGUGGCAAAACUUUCAAUUUUUUAUUUACUAUAAUAUUUUCUAUAAUAUCCUCACCUUAUAAUUGGUAGACACAAGUAAUUCUCGAUCAAAUGUUUUCUGGGGAACCUGAAAUCAGAGUCAUAAGAAUAUUAAGAGACCCCGAAAAAGCAAUACAAAGUCACAAGAAUAAGAAAGAGAAGAUAAUAUGGUGAAUUAAAUUAAGAAGAAUUACAUCAUGCACAACUAGCCGCAGCGUCGACACAUUCAAAUGUGGAGCCUACAAUUGGACCAUGCAUGAGUUUUGUGGAAGUGGAAUAAACAGCUACAUACUUCUGGUUGUGUGUGAGAGCAGUGGUCAAUGGUCAUGCCAUUCAUUUGGUCAUGAAUGAGAAUGGAUGGCAACAAAAGAGAACGGUUUCAGGUCACAUGUAAGCGGUCAGAAACGCCAUUGAAACAUAUAUCACAACAACCGUGCACUGUUCAACAUAAAACACAGUAGGCUGUGCAUUAUUUUUACUAUUUAAAAGAAAAUUUACUAAUGUUUGACAAGUAUAAACAGAUUGGGAAAUGUGGUGCACCUGGCUACAAUAACAUCUCAUCUCAGCUGCCAAUCAGGAAAUUGUCACAUAAGGAAUGUGAGAAAUUGUAUGCCAACGCUCUCCUUGCUCCUUUUGGUACAACUGCUUAAUUAAUGGACAGUCAUGAAUGGACAAAGUAGAAAGGGAGAUGGGUAGACCCUCCUCUGGCAAGCUCUCAAAACAAGGACAGUCUUCAAUAUAUAGAGAUUCAAGUGAAGUGAGGUGGAGAAGACCCUUGUAGUUGAUUUUUCUUAGGUUGGAACAAUUUGUCAACUCAAGAGAGUUAAUAGUUGAUGGCAGCAUACUCUCCUCUGGAAAGGAUUCCAAGAUUUCAAAAUCAUCACUAACACUCAAUUGUUUUAAAGAUUUGAGUUGGAACAAACCCCACUCCUCUCUCGAAGCCUUUUCAAGGUGGAUGGCAAUUCAUUUAUCAAAAUGCCAUCACAUCUCUUUAGUU
RNAcentral lists this long non-coding RNA (69531 nucleotides) under Medicago truncatula (barrel medic). RNAcentral's name for it is "long non-coding RNA (MTRU_LNC000230)". Lineage: Eukaryota; Viridiplantae; Streptophyta; Magnoliopsida; Fabales; Fabaceae. The record is from RNAcentral.